This 66752-nucleotide long non-coding RNA is filed under the name Ananas comosus (pineapple). Its description in RNAcentral is "long non-coding RNA (ACOM_LNC033947)". The record is from RNAcentral. Lineage: Eukaryota; Viridiplantae; Streptophyta; Magnoliopsida; Poales; Bromeliaceae.
UAAAAAUGGCAACAUGUAACUAUAUAUAGAGUAAGGCUACCAUGCUAUCGGAAGCACGGAGCCUUCCGUGCUUCCACCUCGUUUUCGAUGUUGCGACUUUCGAUCGUCGAUCGGCUCCGUCAAACUUGAUUUAGAGUAUUUGAAGUAACUAGAAAAUAAAUUUUAUGAUUUUACGAUAUCAUUUGCCUAGUGAACGAAGGGGCUCAAAAUUAACGGCUGAAAAUAAAAAUAUUACAAAAUAUAAUAAUAUGAUAUUAAAAUUUUAAAUCAAAGAUAUUGAUCUUGUUUUAUAUAAUAUAAAGAAUUUUCUAUCAAAAUUUCACGUGAUUUGGAUAUUUCUACACCGUUAAACUUGCAAACGGCUCACUACGGCCAUUGAAAUUUGUUGAUUUUGAGCCUAUUCGAUCACUAGGCAAAUGAUAUCGAAAAAUAAUAAAAUUUAUUUUCUAGGUACUCCAAAUACUCUAGAUCAAGUUUAACGGAGCCGAUCGACGAUUCGAAAGUCGCAACAUCGAAAACGAGGUGGAAGCACGGAAGGCUCCGUGCUUCCGAUAGCAUAGUAGCCUCACUCCUAUAUAUAUAUAUAUAUAUAUAUAUAUUUUUGAGAGAUAGGUAGCACGCUAUCCGUUUCGUUUAUUUUAUUUAGAAAAUAAACUUAGCUGGAAAUGUGAAUCAAUUAGGAUUCAAACUUAGAGACCUCGGGUACCAACCACCAAAUUCUUUACCACUUGCUCUACGGACAGUCGGUAACCUUAAAAUAAUUAUUAUAUUCUUUAGUUUGGGGCUUUGAUUGAUUUAUUUCAAUGUUCUUCAAAGAGCAAUGUUAUUGUACACCAAUAAAUGAGAUAAAAGUCUGAUUCCAACGCGUAUUUUCUUAUAUUUCUGCAGAAAUUCGAUAUCAGGAAACUAACACCAAGCUCUAACAGAAAACCACAGAAAACCAUCAUUCAAAGUGAGAAAAAAAAAAAGAAAAAAGAUCAUUUGGAAUGUUUCUAUUUAAAGAUAGGAGAAACAAAUUUACAACUGAAUGAGUCCAUUUGAAGCUCGUCAUUUCGAUUUUCUGCUCUCUUGGUGUUUCAAGAUCUGGACAGGGGCAGCAGGAAUGCGGACCCACCACUCCCUUACUCUCCUAAUCAACUUCUCGCUGCUCGCUUUCCUCAGCGGCAUGUGCCUCGUGUACGCCUCCAGUAGCACUAACAGAAGCAGGUUUUUGAAAGGCACGAAGGCGAAGGCAAACGCUGCGGCAAUCAAAGCGACCGCCACCUUGUUCGUAGUCUGAAAACAAAAAGGAUUGAAUAAAACGUCUCAUGAGCAUCACUUGUAUAAAUUCGAAUUAAGGUUAAAGCCAAACCUGCGGAAAUGCUGCAAACAUGAUAGCUCUGAGCUUGAGAAGAACGAUACUUCCGGCCUGGACAUUUGUUUCUAGUUUAGAAACAAGUUCUGGUAACGUCAAAAGUUGCUCGACAGGGUUCCGACUAGGCGGUGGUGCAAUUUCGAAGGCAUCUAUCGGCUUCCCAUGAUUGUUAUGCUUCUGCCACAGCAUGAAAGCGGCACAAGAGAAGAAUAUGCAAGGCAAGAUGUACCUGAUCCAACCUCUAGAAGAAGUCGCGGAACAUGUCUUAUUAGUAUAGAGAAUGACGAAAAAUAUACGGAGAUCCAAACUUGCAUAAAUGAAUCAAACAUUAGUAGGAGUGCGCGAUGCAAUUGUUGACGCAACAUUGAUUUCCACUCAGAUCAGUUUCUUUCUGAAGGUGUCAUGUAUAUGACUCGUGUUAGGUCGUAUUCAUCGCAUAAAAUCAAACUUUUGCAAAACUUAAGUUUUGAAUAGUUCAAAGCAAGAGGUGUAUCAGCUUGUCAGAAAAGAUUACAGUACCUGUAAACAAUGAAAAGGAUCAAAACGAGAACUGCAUGUGAUUUAAAAGGAUCUUCCCAGUCGACCAGUAACUUGAGUUGUUUGCCCAGUUCUAUGCAAGGGAAAAGCAAUUCCUGCAACAGAAACACAUAACACCAAUCUGUUAAACUACAGCAAAUGUUCAGAACAAUAAGUAGCAGCAAACUAUGUCACAUAGCAUAAAAUUUUUCUUUUCUUUUCUUUUUUUAACAUGACUUCGAAUGUACGAGUACGAAAUUCAGGUUUAACUAGAGCAGGACAUUUUGAGCACGAAGUUUCGAUUGGCUACGACAACAUACCUUUAUUACAGCUAAAUUUGUGUCAAUAUCUUUCACUUUAACCUGAUCCAGUGUCGCACGUGCCACCUCGACUCUGCCAGAGUAACAAACUGAUUCUCUAACAGCCCUUCGAAGAGGACUUGUCCCCCCGAUACCGACAUCACCAACUAUAUAACCUCUCUCUUCAGGAGUAUCUUCUUCUCUUAGUGAGAGAAGGCCCAUUCUGGAAAGGGUAUAUACCGAAAGCGGAAAAGUACCUGCCUGCGGCUUUUCGUCCGAACAUACGACCUCCAAGUGCUUAUUUAAAGCUUUCAAUAUCUUGUCUCCUUUCGGAAGUUUCUCAGCUAAGUUGAACGCAAGCGUAGUCUUAAAGUGCGAUGGCAGGAUAUGGAAACCUUCCUUCAAAGCGCGAUAUCUCAAAAUGCCUAAAGUGGCCUCAGAAAGGGCUUCGGCUUUCAGAUACUUCCCGAGCUUAUACUUCCUGAUGAACUUGUGAACAUGCAAUACUUCUUUAAUGAUCGCAAACCAGUAAUCUCUGCGUGAAUGGCCUUUGAAUUGAGGGAACUCCAGAAAUAUGGGCUCUGCUCUGAUAUGAAAGUAAAGCUAUGUACAGAAUUAAGAAAUUGUUGCGCGGAAGAAGUUUAAGAAGGGUAACAAAGUGACUCUUUGGUGGUUAAAUACUUACAGAGAACUCGACCUAUACAUUACGGCCUUAUCGAAGAGACGAGCACCCCACGGCCCGGUGCACUCGCGCUUUACGACCUGCUUCAAGUCCUUCGCCAAAUCAUACAUAACAGCUUUAUUAUAGGAAAAACCGACCCCAAAUGACUCGAAGUAAAGAGCGUGGUUGGUAAGCGUCAGCCGUCCUGAAAAGAAGAGUUACUGUUGAGGAUUUCGUAGCGAAACGCAAUCUACUCGCACGAAACAAAAUUACCAUAAAGAGAAAUGCUUAACCAGGCCAUGUGGAUGUUCCGAUGUGUUGGAGAAUAGGUUUAGUCGGCAUGGCACCGUCGACAUCUAAGAUGAUUUCUCCCUCAGGAAGUUGAAGUAUAGAAGCGUGGGACGGAUCCAAUACGCACUUGGCACAUCUGAGCACCCUAUUGUGACAUAAAAGAUGCAAACUUAUUCAAGAAUCAUAAAGGUUUUAUUAACUGUAACUGGUGCUUAUACUUGUGCAGCAUCUUUCAGCAUGUCAUGAAACAGAUAUUAUGUACAAAAGAGCAAAUUGCAAUUGAAACAUCAUGCUCUGACAAUGAAACAGUGAUUCCAUACUUCUCUAGGCUUUUCAGGUACUUGGCGUAUAUGAGAAAAUGGAGUCGGCCACCGGAAGAGCUUGUGAGCGCAUCGAAUAAAUUGUGGACGGUGAUUGGAUCAGCUACAGAAGGACAUGCAGGGGCUAUUUUCGCGAAUGCUGCUGCCCCAACAGUCCUCUUCCCGUCGACCUGACGAGAAAGAAUCAGAACAGCUUAUACUCUCAUUCACCUCCCACUACAAUAAUCAUACAUCUCUAGUAAUUGUUAGGACAAACCUGCGUAGCCAAUCUCGUAGCACUCGCGUAAAACAAGGAUCCUCCGUCGUCAUCCUCAGCUCCAAAAUGGUCGGAGCACGCCGGUUCCUGUCACAACUAAUCAGCGCCUUGAUAGAGUCCAAUACAACGUAAAGAUUCUCAUAGCAGUAAUUCUUGUUGUUCUACGUAUACGAAGCGUAAAAUCAACAGUAGUGGAUGAUAAGCAAAGGGCCAAAAAAAAAAGAAAGAAGACAUGUAGAGAGAUGUCGAAAUGUAACGGUGUCUCACAUUUAGCAUAGAUUCUUUCUCGGUAUCAGGGGUUUCCCAAGCAAGCAUCAUGUCGAAUGUUAGAACGCGAAACUCGUUAUCUGCGAGAUGAUCCGGAUGCUUAGUUUCCUCAUGAAGAGCCCUGUAAGAACAGUAUUCUACAAGAUUCCUAGCAUAUAAACAAUCCUGAUUGGCGUGGUCGGGAAGCUCGGCCUCGAAACGCUGCACCAACUGCUCUGUUGACAGCGCAAGUAUCCUGAAUUUGCGCAAAAUGACUCGAUCAAUUAUUCUCUUUUAUACAUGAGAUAUGAAACUAAUGAAGUUAUUUAAAAUGUGAAAGAAAAAAAAAAGCCAAUUCGCGAACCCGAUACACUGCAUCGGUGUAAUUGCAGGACUUUCAGAAGGUCUGUGAUGGUAGCAGCAGGCUUAGCCUGAUUUGGAUUAGAAUGUUUAAGAUUUUGCACAUAAAAUUUGAUAUUACUUUCAUAAUGUGAGAUCGCGAGAUUUGGAGUGUGUUCAAUGUUAAGACAAUCCCCGAACAGUUUUCUAUUAGAUCCAUCUUUUACAUAAGUAAAUCUCUACCUCUUCUUCUUCCUUUGCCUUACGAAUUUUCAUUCGAAGUUUUCACUUGGAAAUGUAAAUGAAGUUGCACGUAUCUUAAGAAGAACAAAUUUGAACAAGCAUAUGACGUGCGAAAAACGUGGAGUUUCACCUCGAGCAUCGAUAGACGACGGAGUUGGCGACGGAGGAGAGGCCGGGGACGGGAUCGGGCACGGCUUCACUCUCCAUCUCCGCGGCCCUUUCUCUGCCGCUGAGGAAGAAGAAGAACCCGUCAAGGAACCCCAUUCGGCGCCGAGUUCAUCCUAGCUUGUAUCCACCGCAACGCAGUUGAAUUCAAAUUUGAAUUGAAUUUGAUCGAUCGUUACCAAUGCCUCUCUCUUCUCUACUCUCUCUCUCUCUCUCUCUUCCUUAGCAAUGGUGGGUGCGUUUUUUUCUUUUUUUUUUUUUUUUUUUUUUUUUUUUGGGGUUGCGACCGUUGUUUUUUACGUGACCGUUGUUUUUUACGUGGGGGAGGGAGAAACGGAAAUAAACCCCGCCGCGGGAGGUGUCGAGAGCGCCAACUUCGCGGAUCGCGUGGGGGGUUCGAAGAACGAAUCGUAUGCCGUAUGCGUGAACUGACUCGUAUAAUGGGCCGCUAUUGGGCCUGAUAGCAGGCCCACGUAUUGAGCCCAACACUAGGUCCGAGUUUCGAAUUCGCUCGGGCCCAUCAUUAAAGUAGUUUUCAUAUUAAGAUAAGAGUUAUGCAUGAAUAUUUAGUAUGAUUAAGAAAAUAGAGCUUAAAUUAGUUGGUGGAAUUAUGCUACGUUUGAUUGAUAAUGUGUUUAACUAAGCUGUGUAAUAGAUAUCUGCGCGUAUGUUGAGUUCUAUAAUUAGUAUCAGAACAAAUUACAUUUUUCUUUGGAACCAGUCAUUAGUGGUUUAUCACAGAUUGAUUAGAAAAUCCGAAUUUUCUAUCUUUUAGGUUACUGAUAGAAUCUGCGCAAAACAUGAAAAAAAAAUAAAAAUAAAAAAUAAAAAAGCACUAAGGCGUAGGAAAUAAUUAGCCUUCAAGUUUGCAUUUCAACAAGGGAAAAAUUGAAGUCCGAAACAUCAAAAGCCCCCAGAAUUAGUUCUUUCCCUACUCUAGUACUUUUUACUCAAACAACAACUACCAUAACAACUUAAUACACUAUUCAUCAUCAUCAUCAACGUACUCGAUCUAAUUAAUCUAUCCACGUACCCCCACUACCGAAUUUUAACUUAUGCAUUACACAGCUUAAUUAUUCACCAUCGAUCCAACCAUUCAAAUGACGACUCUACCACCUUCGCGCCGCAGUGCUCCGGCAAUCACCGCCGGCAAACCACCGCGUACCCGCUUCGUCCAUUGCUAGUGCAGUCCACGACCGUCGGGUUGACCUCGAUCGCCUCCGUCACCGCGGCCACCUCAGGCGCGAAGACGCAGCUCCUGCAGUUCGCCGACAGCAGCGCAGACGUCUCGUAGCGGUCCUCCCCGCCCAUGACCGGCAUCGGCACCCCCUGCUUCACCGGGCUGUAGAAAUCCGGCCGGUACGUCUGCCCCAGCACUCCCUCCACCCUCUCCGACAGCUUGAAAAUUUUGAACUGCACGUCCAAGUGCGCAAAGCAAUCCCCCUCUGGUAUUCCAUAUCUGCUGAAUAUAAAAUAUUAAAAUACUAUUCUCUUCUUUAAUACUCUGUAUUUAUAACUAAUCGAUUGCUUUUGUUGGCUUAAAGAGACCAAUAUUCUAUCCCAUGACAGAAAGCCAGUUCAGAUCGAAUCAUAUUUGAAGUGGCGAGAAAUUGAAUUAGAUUGAGUCACAAUCGAGACCAGUAAAUUUUAUGUGUAAGUUUUAAAUGAACUACAGUUCCACGUAGUAUUGUUUCACAAUACCUAUGUAUCCGAUCAUCCUCCUUUGUUACAGGGGUGACGGUCGCCGAUAUCUCAAACACGUUCGGAAGCGUAACGAAGAGGGUGUUAACGGUGCCGCUCCGCUCGACCCGGAGGCCGUCGGCAGUCCAGGAGGAGAGGUGGCCUGGAUCGAGGUUGAUGGGGGCGCCGUCGAAUGUGAGGGAGAGGUGGUCGGCUCGGGGGUCCCAGGAUGGGGCGGUGACAGCGGCGACUGUAAAGGCGUGGGCGCCGAAGCGGAUGCCGAGGGACUGUAUCCAGGUGAAGUCACGGCGGCGGCCCGCGGGGCGGAAGCCGACGAAACGGGCGUUGAUCUGGAGGUUCGGGUCGGAGACGAGCGCAAAGUGGCGGCCGGCGUGGCCGUGGAAGUAGAAGACGGCGCCGUCGGCGCCGACGAACCUGGGGUCUUUGCAGCCGGAGCCCUUGUUGUCACAGUUGGGCGUACGAGCUGCAUGCAUGCAUGUUCUAGAAGGGUCAGUUUGGUCUAUAUUCUGUAUAGAAAAUAAAAUAAAAAAAUAGCCAUGCGCGGUGCUUUUUUUUUUUUAAAUAAAAUAAUUAGGUUUCAAAUUUGAGACCUCAGUUAUAACUUACAUGUGCAGGAGGGCUCGCAUUUGGGGUUAUUGCAGUCGACGACACAAGCCUUGUCGUUGGGGUUUCCGGGCUUCUGGCUGGGGCACUCGGACGGGCACGUCAGGAAGAUGCCGGCGCACCGCGUGCCGUCGUCGCCCGUGCUGUUGUCCGGCGGGAACUCGCGCCCGCUCACUCGGGACGGCGGCGGCGGCGAGGGGUUGCCGUACAAAUCUGCAUAACUGUUAGAAACAACUGCGAGGAGAAGAGCUCCGAGGAGAGCGACACGUUGUUUGCUCAUGGUUUUGUAUUGCUUAGCUAAACUAAACAAAUUGCAGGAACUAGUACUUCACAGUUCACGCUACUCAAAAGGAAGCACGGGGGAAUGCCUACUAUUUAUAGACUAGAUUUGGUCCACGUGUUUGUAAUCUAAUGCCUAGUGUUGUUCUUCUAGAUCUGUUUAUUUGAGAAAGUCAAAUGCGAUUGAAUUUGCUGUCGAAAGUAAUUAACUAGGUUCGGUUCUUCCUAAACAUCGGGUUACGUGAGGAUUGAAUGAAGCAUACGAAACGAGGACUCAAUAUAUAGUAUUUUUUACUUGCUUUUUUAAUUUUUUUUUAUUUGUUCUUUCUCAAGAUCACAGUCAUUUUUUUUUUUUUGAAAAAAAUGAUAGCACACUACCCGCUUCAUUCAUUCAGAACAUGAACUUAGUUACAUGGGUGAGACAACAAGACCUCUAAAGAGAUAAAAAGUCGGACAAAGACGAAAAAAUAAAAAAAAUAAAAUAAAAAUAAAAAAUAAAAAAUAAAAUAAUAAUAAUAAUAAAAUCAGUUUAACCUUAUAGCAAUCACAGCCAUUUUUUGCAUAGUGUGUGAUAUGUAAUGAGUCUCAGUGAUCACUCUCGCUAUGGCCCUGUCACCGUUUGCAAAGUUGCAAAGCUCGGGACUGGGAGGAAACUAGUAAUAAGAGAAACAGAUAUAAACUCAACCACAUGUAUCUCCUAUUUAUAAUUUCUUUUUCCUCCUUUUUUUUUUCUUUUUUAUAAUCUCACACACAAGGUCAAUGUGAAAUAGAACAAGGUAAAACAUGGGGAGUAACACUUCCAUAAAUACUGGCCCUCAAUACACGCCUUAUUAUACGCAGCAUCAUCAUGGGGUCAAGAUUCUCUCAUGGGGCUCAUACAAUACACGUUUACAAUUGCUAAACUUUGGGUUAAUUAAGAAAAUACACUACAUGGGACUCAAAAAAAAUGAAAAUACACUACAUGGGACUGCAAAAGGUAGAGAAGCUUGUUUAUAUACCGAACCUCGGGUGAUUUAUAUGGUAAAUAAAAUUAGGAAUAAAGUUUUACUGUAAGAAAAAUUUGAAAUGAGUUUGUAGGCUUCAAAACUAUAAAAGCUUAUAUAUAUAUAUCUAUAGUUUUUCUAAAAAAUGUACUCUCUAUAUUUUUUUUAGUUUAAUAAAUGUUAGUAUUUUCAAAUAGCGUUGCUUUACAACAAAUACUUGAAAUUUUUAUUAAAAAAAAUAUAUAUUCGGUGAAAGUUGCUUUGUACAGCACACUUUCCUAGAAACUACGACGCGUUUCUAGCUCUACAACACUGAUUUGGGCUUUUUAUCUCUUCAUGCUAAGUAAAACUUUUUUACAGUUGUAGAUGAAUUAUAAAAAGAAUAACCGAGUUUAUACUAUUUUAUCCCAAUAUUAAUUACACCUUAAAAAAGAAAAAUUACACCGACGAUCUUACGAGAACGAUGAGAUUGUCUCGACCAAUGAAUGGUCCCUAAACACGAGAGAUUCGCGGCAACCAUCGUAUAUUGGGCUCCGAUAACUUAUUAAACUGCUGAGUAAUACGAAAGAUUCCAUGCGUGGGAAUAUGAUGAUGUUUAGUCAUGCUUCGAUCAAGUAACAGUGCAAUACAUCAUGAUAUCGGAUCUUAGAAAUUCACACUUCCGACUAUAAAUAGUUUAAUACAGUAUUUACUUAUCUUUGACCGCUUAUAUUACUCAUGGUUUCAGAUCAACUGAAUCGAGCUUACCCCAUGUUGAAUCACUUGGUAAACAACAUUAAUACCUGGAAUUAAACAGUGGGAACUUCAAAUAGCAGGGGCUAGGGAAAGUAAAGGGGCUUAGUGCGACAUAAAACAACAGGGGGCUUAACAAAAAGGAGUAACUCUCUCCAGUAGCAUCUCAUUAUGUCUCAAAGUAAAUAGAAGUUUCCUGCAAAAAGCAGGAGGGAAAUAGUUGUCUUCACAUAGGAAAACAAGCAGGAACUUCUACAAAGAAAACCAGCAUUAUUCGAUAACGGACUCUGUUUCAUCUAACCACUUCGAUAACGGACUCAGUUUCAUCUAACCCCACUCAUUUCACUAAGCAGAUCUUUAUGACAGAAGCAAUACCAAUUCGGUGUAGCGCAACAACGGCAUCACCAGGCUUGCACAGGCUCUUCUGCACGCCUUUUUGAAGUGCGGCCGCCAAGAUCACCUCCGUCGAUUCGGAAUCAGUUGCCUUAGCUGAACCCUCCGCCAAUAUUGGGAUAAGACCCCGGUGGAUAAGGCUGAGCCUUGCAGGUGACUCAUCGCUGACCAUCCAGUCGAACGAGUCGGUGGUCAGCACUGGCACCACCACAGACAGGAUUGGAACCCUAGGUCGAUACUUCGCCACCAACUUGGCAGUCGUACCGCCACGUGUCAACACCACAAUAAGUGUGGCCUUAGCUUUGUUUGCGGUCCGGACGGCGGAGGAUGCGAGACUCUCCAAAGGGCUCAUGGGGAGGGGGGCACACCUAAUCAUUUCUUUGAAGAUGGCAUCGUAAUCGAGGGAUGACUCAGCCUCUAUACAAAUUUGGGCCAUGAUUUUGACUGCCUGCUCAGGGUAGGCCCCAGCUGCACUCUCACCGCUGAGCAUGACGCAAUCUGUGCCGUCAAGAACGGCAUUUGCUACGUCGGUGGCCUCAGCACGAGUCGGGCGAGGGGAUUUGAUCAUCGACUCAAGCAUCUGUGUGGCAGUGACGACCGAUUUGCCCGCUAGAUUGCAUUUGUAGAUCAUCAUCUUCUGGGCGAGGAAGAUCUUUUCAACUGGUAUCUCCAUACCAAGAUCACCACGGGCAACCAUGAAGGCAUCAGUUUCACGUAAGAUCUCGUCGAAGUUUAUGACUCCUUCCUGGUUUUCGACCUUCAAAAAUAAAUGAUGGAUAGAAAAAGAAAUUAGAUCCAUUUUUGGAGCUAAAAUACUUCAUAGCUAGUCCUUAUGUGGACAAUACAGACUAUCAAAAAAGGCCUGAAUAGCAUUGCUUGCGAAGGUCAGUCUGUGCUCAUCAAUGAGAUAUCAAGCUUUAGGUUUUAUUUAGAAUUUCAUUAAAACAAUGAAAGAUUAUUAAAAUGAAGAUAUAUUUUUUCAAUUAGUAAUAACAUUAGUCAUUUGUGUGUCAACAAAUAGAAUACCCAUGAAGAUAAAAUAUCAGCUAGUCAGCUACCGUACAGGUUGUUAUGAUACAAAAGAACACGGAAAAAAUGGAACUGCAUUUGCUUAAUCACAUUUAUGAGUAAUCAAUGUGAAAGGUUUUGCCUAUGCUAAUGAAACAGUGGACACAUGCAUCAUAAGCUGCUAGAUCCGGCACUACAACAGGUUGUGCACAGGGUGAAUUUGACAUACAUGCAAUUAACACAAAUUUAAACAUUCACAUAUUUAUAUGGUAAAAAAGCCUGAAGCGCUUAAUGGCCAUUCCUAUGUCAGAAGACUCAUUAGCUCUGCUGGUGCAUAAAGUGAUAUUAAUAAUGAAAACAUGGAUUCCACAUCUGCAUGUACAACUCAGCAUUGGGUGGCACAAUACCAUUCCAAUAGAGUAUUGACACAGUAAGGGUACUCGGUCUCCGCCCCCCCCCCAAGAAAAGGGUAAAAAAAUGAAUAUAUUUAUGUGUGUGCGCACAUGACAUCAGAAACAGCAAAAACAAAAGAAGGUUGAUUGCAAACAUAGACAGGGAAAGGCAAUGAAAUUAACAGGAGCUAUGUACCUUUGACAUCAACUUUAUUUGCUUUGCAUGUGUGCCAAGAACUUGCCUAACAGUUACGAGAUCAGAACCUUUACGCACAAAUGACAGAGCAAUUAUAUCAAUGUUGUUCGGAACACCCCAUCCCAAGAUGUCUUCCUUAUCUUUGUCAGUCAGUGUCGGGAGAUCCACAAUAAUCCCAGGCAAAUUGACAUUCUUUCUCUCACCCAACAUUGCAGUGUUUUCACAGCGACAUCUCACCGUCCCAGCUUCCGGAUCACAAGACAGGACUGUUAGAGUUAUUGUACCAUCCGAACACAAUAUGGUGUUUCCGGGCUUCAGAUCUACAGAAAGCUUCUUGUAACUCAUAGCUAUCAUAUUCUCAUCGCCUUUAAUGUUGUAAUCAGUGGUAAUAGUGAUCUCUUGGCCCUCCUUGAGCUUGAUAGGUUUCCCGUCCUUCAGGAAGCCAGUGCGGAUCUCAGGGCCCUGUCACAGGAGAGAAUAUAAGACCAGAAGGAACAACAUAAACUCGUAAGCCAUUGAUGGAAUUAUCAAAUUGGACUAGAUUAAGAAUCAAGUUGAAAUUUUAAGUCCUAGAUAUGAAUUUACUUCAUCUUUGCACAAUAUUCUAUUAGAAGCAUAUGUAUGCACCAGAAAAACUAGAUUUUAUAUGCCACAAAUGCUUGAGAUGUGCUUAUUGUGCUGAAGUGGUAAAAACCACAAAGAUUACAGAGCAAAGAGGUCAACGAGCCACCCCAAUAAAUUUUCUUCUUUUCUUUCAUUCUAUAGUGAUAAAGAGCCAUCUUACAAGCUUGCAGAAUAAAAGGAAGCCUGGAAAGAUCAAUGAACACAAACUAUGAGAGAGAGGAAUUGGUGCCUUUUCAUCUUUUCUAGUCAUAUACAUCAAUGUAUCCUACGUUUAUCUGGAUUUGAUGCUUAUUCAUGUUUUCUAGUCACAGAAACAGUCUAUUUACUAAUUCUCACCUCAAAUAAGCACUAUCCCGACAGAUCACUUACUAACUGCCUGAAAUUCAGAAUUCCAACAAAUAGCCAGUCAGGAUAAUAGAUAAAAGGCAGCAAUUUGGGAUAUUCUUAGAAAUUUUGCAUGUUCAACAUAUAGGAACAAUCCUAACGUCUUUAACCGCUUCUUCAGUUGGUUAAUGAGUGUUCAUCAACGUUCCUCACUCUACACUAAAUGAUCAGUUUCAACAUGGAACCAAACAAAAAUAAAACAUGACACCUCAGCUGCAAAAACUAUCAUACAGGAAAGAAAUAGCUUUGAUGUGCUGUAAGCUUCUAUCAGAUUAACUACUGAAAAUUUUCAUGCUCCGAAAACCUUUAAUAUGUGCGACUAAACGUUUCCAGGAGACGCAAGUAUCGUGUCCCUCUCGCGACCUUUAAACAAUUCUGAUAAAAUUAGCACAAAGAUGAGCCACUCAUUAGCAUUCCAGUAUUCCUUAUAGCAAUUAACACAUGAACAGCUAGCAAGAUUAAAAGGAAUGAGGUGAAGAUGGGCCAUGCAAUUCUAAUACGAUCAGCAGAUUAUACACAAAGCGACUGAUUUCUUCAAUACAAAAAUAUAAUGUUGUCACGUACAAAGCCUAUCGACACAACAUACAGCAAAGAGCAGAUUGAUGCGGAAUUGAGCUUCGGAUAUAAUUAUAACUUGUAGCAAUUAUCGAACAGUGCAUAUUGUUUCUGCAGUAGCAUUAAACAGUCAAUCAAAUACGAUACGACACAAAACCGGGUGUUUUUGCGACCAGAAUCCUACAGCAUACGGCCGAGACAAGAAGCUAAAAUUAGCUUUUAAACUCCCAAAAAAACAGAGUUCUAAAUUUAAAGCUCCUGCUCUAGCUGCAGUAUCGGGAAGCUAUCAAGGUUUUUUCAAUGACAAGCAGUUGGGGCGUCUCCGAACAGCUCUACACAAACAGAGUAGCUUCCACACAAGCAAAGUCCAAACCAAACAAGCCCGAAACAACAAAGUAGCAAAUAGCUAUCCGAGCAUACACGAAUCACAGCUCUUCCGUGGGGAAAGGAGCGACCUUUGUGUCGAGCAUGACGGCGCAGAGGAUCCCGGUGUUGUGCAUGGCGAUCCGGAGAGUGUCGAGGGUCUCCUGGUGGUACUCGUGCGUCCCGUGCGAGAAGUUGAAGCGCGCCACGUUCAUCCCCGCCCUCAGCAGCUUCUCCAGCACCGGCACCGACCUCGACGCGGGGCCGAGCGUGCACACGAUCUUCGUCUUCGGCACGCGCCCGUCGCUGGGGAGCCCCUCGAGUAUCCCCGCGAUGUCGAUGUUCGCCAUGGCUCCCGCAGCGAAUCAAAGCCUAAAAAACCCCAAAUAAACCCUUAAAAAAGGCCACGAAUUCCGAUCGGAACGCGAGGGGGAGUGAGAAAUCGGAGAAGCAGCGUUGCAUUAGGAGGAGAAACUCACCGAGGCGGAGAGGGAGCGGAGAUCGAAACCCUAGAACAGUGGAUCUGACUUCUUAGGACGACAAUGGAGAAUCCGAGUUAGGGUACUCGCGGAGUGGAAGAAGCUGCUUUUCCUUUUUCUUCUUCUUUUUUUAUUAUAAUUUAUAAUUUAUUUUCUCGUCGUCGGUACUUCUCCUCUGCUGUGUUUUUUGACCAACUGGUAUUCAGUGGGCGGAAUGAUAGGGAAAAUAUUUUGCAUGCACCUGGUGCACUGUGCACCGCAUCACUAAAUAUAUAUGAGAAAUAGUGGUCACACCAUAUCACCAAUAUUCUAAGCAAUCAAUAUCUCUAUUUAAAAUAUAUAAUAAAUAUAUAUAAUAAAUACAGAGCACGCUAUUAUAAUUCAUACUUUCUCACUAAAUAUGUAUAAAAAAUAAAUUUAAUAUUUUUAAAUUAUAUUUUCUCAUCAUUAUCAUAAUUCUGUAAUCUAUAUGUAUACUUAUAAUUAAAAGGACAAAUCAUCACUAUAGCUAUUUGAUACUUAUAUUAUAUAUUAUAUAAGAAGAAAAAUAAAGAAUUAAUAAAUUAAGAGACUAAUAGGGCAAUUUAUCCUACCUAUUAUAAAGUUCUUAAAAUUAGAAUUUAUUCCAUUAAGUGUGUUAUUUGGUGUUUACAAAAGCUUAUUUGUUAAAAUUAUAAUUUAUAGACUACUUAAAAUAUAUUAGAAUUUAAUUUUUAUUUUUUUAUCAUUAAAUAUUUAGUACGGUGCUUGUUUUGGACAGCUACACCUGAUGCAGGCAAUAGUUCUCUCAAAGAUGAGGUGAGAGAACGGAGGGGAGCACGUGAGCCACGUGGACGGUCGAGAUUAAACGAUUUUUGAAUUCUGAGCACGCUUCGAACCGUUAAAUGGGCUGAUCAGGGACCGUUUCCCAAAAGAAUAAAUCAAAAACUCGUUUCCCUCCGUUUCGCGCUCUCGGAAUUUCGUUCCACGGAUCGAACGGGGAUUAUUCCCCGGGAAUAUUCCCUUGGUUACUAGAAUACGGCGAUAUCAAUAUACCGUGUGCCGUGCGGACACAGAACUCGGCGAAGCUAGCUAACACGUCGCCGACUUUAGAGUACAUGAGAGUGGAUAGAAUUUUUGGUAAAUGUAAGUUAGAAAAAUGGUGCAAACUAAUUGAAAAUGGGAGAAGUUUGAGAGGCAUGUAGUAACUUUUGCAUCCAUAAAGAGAAUUAUAGAAAAAAGAUUUUUUUUUAUAUGUAUUGGUCAACUAAAUUUUAAUUAAUUAAUUAAUAUUAUCUAUUUGUAUAUAUCAGGUGGUUUUUCUUUCUUUUUUUUUUGGAGGUGCAUGUACUAUCAUAGGACUUAGCAUGAAAAAAUUAUAAAAUGUAAUAUUUAUAUUGCUUAUGUGGUGGCACUCAAUCAAUCAAAAAAGUUUUUUUGGAAUUUACCAUCGCAUUGUGGGUUUUAGAAAAAAAAAAUUUUUAUUGUACAUUUUUUUUUAAAAAAAAAAGGUAUAAUUGGCCGAAGAUAAAUAAUGUCUCGUAUAAAAAAAAUUAUAGAAUGCAACACUUAGCAUGAGCAAUUUAGUAUUAUUAUUAUAUUUUGCUUCUUUGCUGUGUCUCCUGAUUAAGCCCUUUUAAAUGAUUUAAUAGUUCCACUCUUAUCCAAAAAAGGCAAAGUGUUUUUUAAAAUCAUUGAAAAAUAAUUUACAUAGAAUCUUCAGGACUCAGAAGAGAGAAAAAGGAUUAUUAGAUCAUAUUUGAGCACCUUUAAGGGUAGUAUUAUGAAGCGUCAAAAUUUUCUAAACAAUAUUGUUAAAUGCAAUUCGUGGACGAUGAACUUAUUAAACUUAUGACCACGACACACUAUUUAAGAGCAAAUAAUUUCAUUAUUUGGAGACAAUCUGAUCGAAAGUUUAAAUUAGUUUAAUGAGUAAAAAUAGUAAUUAAAAUUACUAAAUUUUAAUAAAUAAUUUUAUAAAUUUUUUUAAUAAAAGUAACAAAAAAAAUUCGAUUCGAAAAUUCAUAAAAAGUUAAUCUUGUCCAAAAAAAAAUCAACCACAAUGAGGGGUUUUAUUUAAUUAUUCCGAAGGUAAGGGUGCUCCAUGCAAUUGUGCCUACAUUUCACCCAUAAACUCGCGGUGCUUCGGCCUCUCACUCCUCGCACUCAUUCACUCGUCUCGGCGAAGCAACACGAUGCUAACUCAUCAUCCGUUGCAUCUCUAUCGACCUCCUCCGCUCCACCUUCUUCGUCCUCCUCCUUCGAAGCUACCCCUCCAUCUCCACCACCAUCACCAUUACUACCGUGCUCACACCAUCACCACCACCUCCACCUCCACCACCACCGCCAUCGCCGCCACUAGGAGGAGGAAACGAGGCGCCACUCCAUCAACUGGAGCGGAGGAGGAGGAGGAGGAGGAGGACGACGACGAUGUAGGGAACGAGGUCGAUUCGGGGAGAGCGAAGGGCUCGGGGACGACGGCGAGGGGGAGGAGGCUCCUCAAGGUGAGAGAGGAGAGGCGGAGGAGGGAGUACGAUCAGAUCCAUAACUACCCUACCUGGGCUAAGUUCGUAUAAUCCCCCCUCUCUCUCUUUCUCUCUUAAUUCCGAUCUGUUUAGCGUUUUUACUCUCUCUCUCUCGCGACUCGUAAUUUGAUGUUGUUUUUUAAUCGAAUUGCCCGAUAUAACGCGUUUGAGAUGCUAGAGAACAGUUGUUGUAUUAUGCUUUCUAUUUGUUGUGAGUGGAAUAGGAUCUGCGACAUCAAGAACUCGUAAUGCCCGUUAGGUGUUCGACGAAAUGUCCGUGUUGCUAGUUGAUGUAUUUACUAUGUAGGUGUUUAAUUCGUUCAUAUGCGAAUAUGGUUAGGACGCUAACCUUGCUUGAUUGUGCCUUUUGUUUUUUCCCAAAUGGAAGCAGCAAUCGCCGUUAGUUUGAAUGAUCAUGAUCAUGGAAAGAAUAGGUUUAAUUACAAAAUUGUCGUCGCACUUCCCAUCCUGUUUCAAUCGCCAUCCUAUAUUAUGCUUAGCAAUUUUAUUUCAUCUUAGUACGCCCAACGUUUUGGGUGACUCUGGAAUUCAAACAGGAAACUCAAUGAAAAAGGCGUCUGCGGAUGUAUGGCUUUUAUAUCUGAGCACCGAUCUAGCUGUAGCUCGAAUAAUAGAUGUCUCAAUCCCCACUAGACGUUCGAACUUGGCACCUGGUGAACACUUCAUUCCAUUCGCAUAGAUCUUUUCUAUUACGUAUAAAGGGCAUGCUACUUUCGGACUGAUGUUCGGCGGUUAUUAUUGUUUGUACAUCUGUGUCUUAUUUACUUCAUGUUUGAUUUAAGGAUACUUGAAAAUGCAUGCAAGGAUGACAUGGAACUUCGUGCUGUUCUAGGGGACAGUAUUGGGAACCCAGAGUUGAUGAGGAAAAGGGUAUGGUAAAAUAUUUGGUAGAACAUGUGUGCGGAAUAAAAAAUUUUAAACUUGUCAUUUUGAGUAGUAGUUUAUCUCUAUAAUUGACAGGUAGAGGAAAGAGUACGGAAGAGAGGUCGAGACUUCAGCAAAUCAAAGUCAGGGUCUGUGCUUGCUUUCAAAGUUAGCUUCAGAGAGUAAGAUUCUAUGGAUAUAUCCUUCUUUAUUUUGACUAUCGGAAUAUUAUUAUACAUGAUCAAAACAUAUGAAAAUUGAAGUUUGCAUAAUUUUUGUUACUAAGUACCUCUUUCUUAUUAUGAUUGGUCAUAUGUUUCACAACAAUACAACGCAUGUAAAACUUAAGGAUCAUGUUCAUUGCGAACUUAUUGAAAGUUUGAUGGUAAACCCUAUUUUCUCCUUUAAAGUUUAGCAUUCUAUUUUCAGCAGCUUUGAGAGAAAUAUAGUCUGCAUGACUUGUCCAAUUCAUUUCUUUCUUCUACUGGUUCCUACAUUAAUUAGUUAUAUUGAAUCCCAGUUUAUUUACAUGGAAAGAAUUGAAGAAUAAGUUACACCCAUCACUGACGUUAGUACAAGCUGUUUAGUUUAAAUGAAGUCAAAAUUACAUAAAUGAAUUACUAAUCAGAAUUUGACGGCUUCUUUUUUUGUAUGCGGUUGUGCACAUGCCGCCUGAUAGUAUCAGGGGUUCCUUCAGUUUUAUUUGCCCUACUAAAAUUCUAACUUCAAUUGUUCUCGGCAGCUUUAACCCAUUAGAUUCGUUCAUAUGGUUUGAACUCUACGGGGCUCCGUCUGAUCGGGAUGUUGACCUUCUUGGCAGUGUAAGUUGAUUGUCGAGAGGUUCGUUUCAAAUGGAUAGCAUGGAGUUUUUAUUAUUAUUAUUAUUAUUAUUAAUGCAGCACUGUUAUUUUUAUACUUGUAAAGCACUGCAGGUAAUACAGUCUUGGUAUGUCAUGGGCCGUUUGGGAGCUUUCAACUCUUCGAAUUUGCAGGUUAGGUUUCUCUUUUCACUCUUGAAAAUCUUACAAUUAAUUUUCAUUCUUGUCGAUACCAGAAGAGAGAGAGGAGGAAACAGAAUACGUGAACUUAGUGGAAUAAUUCCACCAUAGCAUGGCAAAAGAUUUCUAUUUAAUCGUACGAUGAAUUGUGUAAAACAUUGAUAUAUGUAUAAUCUGUUGAUACCAUUUUAUGCAGUUUUGAUGUGCGUCUAUAUAUCUAUUCUCAUCAAAACGUUGUUGUCCACAGAAGCAACACUUAGCCAUUUCUAUUCACAUUCAACGUCGUGUCCUUUUUAUAUAAACAUCUGUAUUGACUGUGUGCUACAGCUAGCAAACUCAUCAAUGGAUUACAACCCAAGCUAUGAUUCGGAUAAAGCCUCUGGUCAAAUGCCUUCGUCUUUCCAUGAUAUCAGUGACGUCGAGUUUCAAGAUAACUGGGGCAGGGUUUGGUAAGAGUAUUUUCAUCAUGCAUAAUAACACAAUCUAGCUUCAGUAUUGGCUUCAAUCUCUCAUAAAUCUGAUUGCAGGGUGGAUCUAGGAACAUCUGACUUUCUUGCUGUGGAUGUAUUGCUCAAUUGUCUCACUUUACUAAGCUCUGAGUAAGAUCUCGUCCUAAAGUUGUAUUUAUAAUUUGACGGCUUCACGUGUAGAAUAUCCUCUUUCUUUUUUAUCUUUUUUUUUUUUUUUUUUUUUCACUGGUUUCAAGUUUUCCAUCCUAUGUUGAUGUUAAUAAUGGUAUUCUGAAUCAUGCAGUAUCAAUGAGAUGAUAAUUAAUUAUCUCGACUUUGUUUCUAUGUUCAGCUAUUUGGGCAUCCAACAAGUGGUUUUUGGCGGCCAGCGCAUGGGAGACUGGGAAGAAGGCAUGACAAAUCCAGAGUAUGGAUAUAAACACUUCAAGAUAUGAAAUGUAAUUCACUGUCUCAAUCAUUGCAAUUCAUGUUAGCUUUAUUAACACGAGCUGUACCCAUAAUGCUCGGGUAUGAGUGCGAGGUCACAAUUGAUGCCUGGGGACUCAGCCGAAACGGAGAAGCUCCCCUGUGAGUGUUAUGUCGCCAGAUGCUGCAUGCAGAGCAUCAAACAUUUAGCCUAGAUAUUGCGGAGUUCACAGGAUGAUGGGCAACUGAGAUCUGCUUUUAGUAUCGAUCGUCAUCGAAUUACUGCAUUGUAACUAAUGGUCUAUCUGUAAUUUGCCUUCGGAAAGCUAUUUGAGCAAUGAGAAAAGAGGCAAGAUAAGUGCUUUUCAGAAAGCUCAAAGUCACGCACCAGUGUCAAGUUGUGAUUGUUUUGACGGAUGCUGGAUGCUGCACCCUUCGUCCUUUGGUCAAUAAUUGUCCUCAGCAGAAGAUUCUCUGCAAAUCACAUUUAGCAGAUAAAUAGUAACACUAAACGGGUCCAAGAUACAUAGAAUCAUAAGGAAAUAAUAAUAAAAUAAUAAAAAGGCAAAUUUCAGUAAAUAUACACCCACGGCAUUUAAUGAGACGUACUGCGAGAAGCACCUCAAAAGAAACCCGACGUCUCACAGCAAAAAAACGCUUAAACAAUUUUGGCAAAUUUUCCUUCUGAGAAUCAUUCAAAAUAUCAGGACAAUAUGGGCCGAGCCACUGUUGAAGCAGACGACAGCGGCAGUGUGGUGCAGGAUACAACAAAAAAUGAUCACAAUAAAUUGAGCCCACACUACAAACAAUGAUCAGAAUAAAUUAUGCGGGCUCCCGUUGCAUGCAUGGAGGCGGCUGAGACGUGACAACUCUACAGAUGAAACAUCUGGUGAACAUCUGCAUAGAUUUGCAAACAGCAAUCAGAGAACAAAAUGUCGGCAAAAUUGUGAUGUGAAAAACUUAUCCUUACGCCACCAUGGAUUAUGCCGCUAAGAGAAGGUAAUAACAUAUCAGAUUGGCCUUGAGAUUUUAGGUUUUCGGAGGUGACGAUAUUCCCUCAUGUCACAUUCUUUUUUCUUGCUAACUUGACAAAACGGUCGGUCCACUCCUUGUCUUCCUUCACAGCUUUAUUCCAUCGCUCCUUGAACUUUUCUAAUUCAGCUGUUGACUGCCUUCUAAUCUAUCAAAAUGCAUAAAUAUUUGGUACAAAUAACACCGUUAAUUUAAUAACAGGAUAUCCAAAUUCAUUGUUCUAUUACAGCAACCAAAAAAAAAAAAGGUUAAUUGUUUUUACCUGUGAUCUUAAAUCUACGGAUCUGUGCAGUGCCUGUAAUAGGAAAUGCAGCACAGUGAAUCCAUGUCACUCUAAAGGACCACAUCUUUACGUAAAAUUGCAAGUGAAAGUAUUAACAGCCAAGUAACUGACUUCAUUAGGGUACACGACUUGUCGGAUAUACCCACUACCAGGAAAUAUGCCAAUGAAAAUUGUAUCUUGCAUUUGAUAAUGACCAAGUAAUUGUUAUUUUUAUUGGUUGUCCUACUUCAUUUUGCUUUAAAAUUAGGUGGCUCAUGGAAAUGCCGGACCAGAGUAACCAGCCUUACAAAAACAGAAAUCCAACUUAUGAAAUUGUUUGCUUAAAACUACAUUCAGUUCAAGAAGUGAAGUUAGUAGAAUUGCAAAAAGCAUAUCUCUCAAUCCGAUAUCAAUGCUUCUUAUUACUUGCACUUAGUAGUAAAUGGCUCAACAGAAUUCACAUAAAAUAUAUGAAUUCAAUUGAGGUAAUUAAUUUUCUUUCAGACUAUAACAGUAAUAUCUUUUGAAAUGUCAGAUACUACUUUGUGAAGGUGUAUAAAAUCCCUGCAAAUUGAAAAUUGAACAAAGAUAAUAACAAUAACAGACUAAGUACAUAAUUUGUGCCUGUUUAACCUUAGUAACUGAUGGUCCUCCCAGGGAGGGUAUCCCUUGGUGAACGAUGAAUUCACUAUCAAUCACCCCAACCUUCUUAGUUUGAUCACCCUGAAAUACCAUGUGGUGCAUUACAAGUGUUUAAGAAUAUCAUUGGAGUGAAAAACAACAAAAAUAGAAGAGCAAACAUGGAACCAGGCGAAAUUCAAAGCAAAACAGAUUAUUUGCCAGAUUAUUCAUGUAAAUGUCAUGUAAAUAAUUUAUCUUCAUCACCUGAGCACAAUAACCGAGCUUCAUGUCCAGGCCCCAUCCGUGAAUCAGGUCAUUCUGCAAACAGCCGAGAAAAUGAACUAUAUUAACAAUGUCAAUGAUACCCAAAAAGACUAAGAAAAAGUAGUAGAAUAAGGAAAUUACGAUAUAACAAGCAUGAUAUUAACCAUCAAGUGCCACAAAUCUAUGUAUAAUCAAGUCCUUUAAAAAUAAAACUUACAUCCUACAACUGAAAUUUUCCGCACGUAGGCGUGUUAUCACCUUCCAAAAAUAUCUUCAGCAUAAAGUAAACAUAUGCUAUUACUCAAAAUUAAUAUAAUUUAAAUAGAUCAUUCCCGAAAGAAACAAAAGAAGGUAAAUUUUUGCAGCAUCCAACAGAACCUACCAAAUUAUGCCCAGGCUACAAAUGGAAUUGGUGACUAGAAUAUACAUAGCAUACUCAAAAGGGAAAGCUACACAGUUUUAUAGUUAUACCUGGAUGAGAUGCCACACGCAGCGCCAUGCAGCUCGAGAAAAAACAGGUGCCAUCCCUUCGACCCACCUAGUGCCAGGAAACAAAAGUUACAACUCAAGCUAGUGGAAGGAUUCCAUGGGCAGGGAAAUGCAUUAUAAUUGGCCUACAAUCGAUGUGAAAAACCAGAUGGUUAUGGUGAAAAACUAAUAUGUGCAAACAAGAACACAACCAUAAGCGAUCAAACAAUGAAUAGAUAUUCAAAGGUUAGAUUGUGGUGCCUAGUUUUAUGUAAAAUAUGACAGUAUUAUUUCUCUAGUAACAGUGUUUGCACACAGCAUGACAGUAAAUGCUUCAGUAUCUGGUGUAAAAAAAUACAAUCGAAGUGAUGCUUACAUUAGAUCAGGAAAAAAAAAACUACUCAAUGCAAUAAGGUCAAGCAUGACUUCGUUCAGAUAUCAGAAGGUUUCAUGAGGUUUCAAUCAUAAGGGUGUCCCGAAUAAAAGAAAUUAGUCAAAGCUAACUGGACCAAUAAUAAAGUGCAAUACCGAUUAUAAAUACAACAAUCAUUUGUUCUGGUGGGUUAAGAGAUCUAGCAUGCUGAUUAAAUAACUAUGCGAAGCAAGUAGAGAACUGUACCCUGUGCAUGGAGGCCCUUUACUUUCAUCAGAGCAAUUCAGACUCCCACGGAAAUCAUAUAUGCGUCUGUAGUAUCAUAGAAGGAACCACAACAAGAAAUGUCAAGAACCCAUAAAAAAUAUACAGAAUAAAAAAGUUUCACUGUUUAUUUACCUGUGAACUUUCAUCAUUUUAUUUCGGAUUGUGAUACGGUGGUGUAUGUCAGAUGAUUGAUCAGGAUCUAGAGCAGGCUGUGAAAUUUCCAGACCUUCAGAAAACAUUAUCUUUAAAUACCUGAACGUUCAACCAUGAAAAACAUGGACUUGUCACAUAAGAUUCUGUUUAUAGAGUCUUUUCACAAAUAAAUGAAUAAUGACCAUGACCACACCUUCUAGGAUGAAAGUUCUCCACGCCUAGAUCUUCAUCCCACAAAAAUAUGUAGUCAUAGAUAGAUACAACAUCAGGAUGUAAAAAGCGUUUAGCAAACCACCUGCAAAAAGUCAAAACAAGAGCGUAUCAAGAAUAGCUUGGGUGCAACAUACAACCUGUAACAAACAAAAAAAGAAAAGAAAAGAAAAGAAAAGAAAAAAGAGAAUUGGCAUGAAAUGCUGUACGCACUAGUACUCACUAAAGCACUCUUUAUAAACCAGCCAGAAGGCAUGGGUAUGCAUUGAUGUUUUGUUUUAGUACAGCUGGUCAUGCACAGCAAGAAGAAUACACGUCAAAUUAGGGGUGAGCUAUGACUAGUUACAUGGAUAGGCUUGGAGAGCUCAGUUAAGAGUGAAAAUCUCCAAAUUAAAAGAAAAUACAACCCUCCUGGUUUUUCAAUCAUCUUGUGCAAAAAUCCAUGGCCCUACGUAGCCUCCUAGGAUUACUAAACUUACAGGGCAAAGUUUAUUACCAUUUUGUUUGAUUAUAGGCAAGUAUGUGUACUGCCUUGUUGCUCCAAUUGAGAUCAUGCCAUCCGUCAACGCUCCCAUCAUAAUGAAAAAGCAUAAUUGAGAAAUCUUCUAUAAGAAACUGAACUAAGACAAAUGAUGAAGUUUAUAUUAGCAAUCUUCGCUACCUAUAGAACUGAAAAAGAAAAACAUCUCUCAAGCAAUCAUGUGUUUAAUGACCUUCCGAACUAUAUUAUCCACAUUUUUCUUUUGUGAAAUGCCAACUGCCAUUGCCAGAAGAGAAUUGGACUUAUCACUAGCGCCCUGCAAAUGCAUACAAGAGGAAAUGUUACUAGAGAACAGAUAAAGAACAAAACCACGCAAUCCCACACCAAGCUCAAGCAUUUCAAUCAGAUACUUUUGUUAAAUUAACUAACUCACAACCAAAUAUUGCGCUCAAAAGUAAAAUAAUAUAUGCAUCUAAACGAGGAAUCUAAUGAAGCAACACAAAUUACACACCCAAAUUUCCGAUGAAACAAACAGUGAUCUGAGAUGAACGAAUUAAUAAGUCCUCGGAUGAAGUAGUUACUUUUAACCUUGAGUUCUUCAACAUAGACUUCAAUUCCAUGUCCGUGGUCGGUUCGAUGAUCCCGCGAGGCAAACCCUGGAGCUCGCCCCUCCAUUCCCUCUAAAAUCACAACAAAUCCCAAUCAAAUUACGAAACAGAACACAAUGUGAUCAUUAGAGAAGCACCGGGAAUCGCACUAUAUAUAUAUACAUACCUCGGUCGGCAAGGAAGGAUUUCGCGUCAGAUCCAUCUGAUAAAGAGGAACAAUGUCAGAAGACGAUAAAAAGGGGAUAAGCUAGAGAGAGGGAGGGGAGAAUGGUUUGAGACCUCGAGGUGCUUGUUUUGGAUCUUCAUGGUGAUGAGGAGAGCGAGGGCCAUUAAUAGAGCGAAGAAGCCGAAGGAGGUGGUUUGCUUCAUGGGCGGCGACGCAGAGGAGGAGCUAGGGUUUCUCGCUGGCUUCACUUUGGAGACGACAAAGAGNAAAUAUAAUUUCAAAAAGCAUGGAUGUAAAUCCAAGCAAACGUUAGCAUUUCCAACUACUUGGGCGUAACAUGCCUCUUGUUACCCGAAUUCGCGCUAAUUUUACGCAAUCCAUCAGUAAAUUUGACUUUACAUUGUGCGCAGAUGCAAUAUGCGCAACGAAAAAGGAUGUAAAAACAGAAAUUCAGAGUACAAGCAAUGCUUUCAACUCAGCAUCUCCCGGCAAUUCUUGUUUGACUCUCAACAAUCCUGCGUCUUUCUUCUGCGAACUGCUUCUAACUGAAAGAAAACAAAGGAAACAAAAACUGAGCUUAAGCCAAAAAAAAAGAAGUAAAUUAAGACAGAAGAAGAAGAUCCCAAUUCAUUACGAAAAGUUUGAGCCUAUGGACCGCUAUCCCAGGGUUCAAAGGUAUAUUCCGAAAGAUUGUAUCAUUUCUGAUCUUCCAAAUGAUUCACCAGCAUCCAACUAGGUUAGUAAGACAGAUACGCUUCUUUUGAGUAUCCUUCCUACCCUCCACUUAUUCCAUAGUAGACCGACGUCGACCCCCAGAUCUUGGUUCUGAAUAUCAGACACCCCUGUUGCUAAGAUAAGUUGAUCCUGGCAAAUUAAUGAAUUACGACAUCUCAGUAGCGUAGAGAAAGAGUGCAAAACUCUUUAUAAGAACCAAAAGAAGAUUAAAAAAAAAUAGGGUGCAAAACUAAUAAAAGAAAACACUAAUCAAGGUAAGGAGGAAACGCUACGCGACUCGUCUUAAAUUAGUUCAAUUUUUCCCUCCCCUAUUUUCGCCCUAUACGCCAACACCGGGAGUUUUUCUUUUUUUGGAAAAACUAGUCUACAGGAUCACAAAUAUACCCAACAUUUCUGCUUAAGGCCGUACUUGUUGAACUCAGAGGCUUUUAACGAUCAUCCCCCCUUCUACACCGGCUUCGGACUUUUAUUUUACAAGAAAAAGUUCAGAGAUUUUAAUGCAACGUACAAAACCACUGGAAUCAACAUUAUGGAACUUAUUCCAGCGAAGUAGCUACAGGAUUUUUAGACAAUAAACACAAAUUUCUCAUCACCCCCUCCGUUACAAGAGGCAAAGUAACUUCUAAGAGAGGUGAAAAAAAGGGAACAAAAGGGUGUAGAGUUUAUUAAUUUCAACCAUGGAUUCGACAUAUUGAAAUGUGUUACUUCGGGAACAAAAUAUGCAUGUUUCCCAUGCCAUGCUAUCAGUGGACUAUUUAGGAGUUUCGAAAAUUAUGAUAUUGGGACAAGAUUUUGAACUAUUCAGGUUUCAUAUAAUGAAGAAAGAUACAGGCUUCAAACAGCCAACUCUACAAGAAGCUAACUAGUAACUAGGUCUCUUGUAUUCCGUCAACCAUCCACAUGCUCGGCUCUGAGUGUUCCGCUUGUUCCUUUCUACUUCCAUCUACAAAUUCUUCAGCAAAGUCCCAUUCAUCCGGCUGGUGUUUUGCCGAGUUACAUGGCUGUUAGUUAUGUUAGCAUGUGUACAUUGAAAUAAAUUACUGGAGAAGAGCAAACCAAUCAAGUGCUUUUUGUUAAGCUUCAGUGCGCAAAAGCACUUGGAGGCUCCAUUGAAGCUAAAUCGAGGCAUAGUAUGGCUUAAUGGUACAGUAGGAUUAUAAAACUUCCUGAAGUGCAAGUUUUAGCUCCUGUGCACUCUUCGCGAUAGACCCUCUUCUUCUGCUCAGAAAAAAAGAGACAAAAAAAUGAAUAAAAAACAACAGUGAAGGUUACAUUAAGACUAGAUUCAUGUGCGCAACAUCUCCAAAUGACAAUUUGCAAUUUUUUGUUGCCGUAGCAUAUCCUGAUGGCAAAUUCUGCCAAUAUAAAGUGUUGAUUUGCUUUGUUGGCACGAAGGCAAUGAAAAUGACCAUGGUGCUACAUAAAUUCUGCAAUGAGAAUAAACAGCAGAGUUUGGAAGGGUGAUUCUGGAAUUUUACACCCACAUGAAUUAUUUGCACUCAGUGCACCACAUUACCUGUGCAUCGCCCAAUGAGAUACAUCCAUCUCAUCUCAUAUUUUAACUUGAGCAGUCUUAAAUUCAAAUAUUAUUUUCUUUAAAAGUAAGUAAAAUGGUUCCAUCCAAAAUAUGAAAGGCCUUCAUGUCAAUAUUUGGUUCCGCAAGGGGCAAUGAGUUUUCUUAGUUUGGAAGAUAAUAAAGGAUUGAAUUUUCUGACCUUGCAAGAGAAGGUAACCUAUUCUUGACCUUUUCCAGUUCAAUGAAGCAAAGAUUGCACCGCUCAAGCCUGAGAUGGAUAGAAAUAAUCAGUAAGAAGCAUAUUGUAGCAAUUUAGAAUUUGAGAAAAUUUAAAGCAGAGAAAUAAAAUGCAAACCUUUGCUCCGCUUGAAGGUCUACACCAACAGAUGGACCAGCCGAUAAAGUUGAAUGGAUUACAGGGCCAAAAGUUCUAACAAGCUUGUGCAACAUCUCCAAGGAAACACCUAAAUGCCUAAAAUAAGGGAAGUUGGUAAGAAAUGGAGUUGCACUGUAAGUUAUAAGUUGGUAGAUUGAAGGGUGCUCGUGAUAGUAUAUCUGCACCAUAACACCCUGCUAAAUACCCAAUUGCUCAUAUGUCUACUGAUUAAAUAGUCACCUAGUGAUUCACUACUUUCUUUACAGAAGUGAAGGGGACAAAAUUUUCAUGUGUACGUCAUCGGUCUACUAGUAAUUAUCAAGCAAAAAGGAAAGACAACGUACAGAUAAUCAUUAUAUACCUUUCCAUUUUACUCUCUAGAAGUGUAUUGAGGAGUGGCAUUAGAGAUGUGCAUAAAUCCAGUGUGAUAGUAUCACUCUUCUCCAUCAAAACACUAACUACAUCAGCUGAGACCUGCAGUACGAUAGCAAACAUUAAAAUUAGCCUGCGUUUAACUAACAUAUGGAAUGGAAACAACAAAUAGAAUACAUACAGCAUGAUCAGAUAUCAUUCCCAUUGCAUGGAUGACACCCUUGACAUCCUUCCUUUCCCAAAAUUGAUGAACAGUCUGUAAGUUAAGCAAAAUAUUUGACGUCAUUACCAUAUUAAAGUACAAACUGUGUUUCACUUAAGCCCAUCUCUCAUAAUAUGGACAUUACAUAAGCAACUAAACUGCAAUCACAUUGGUAUAUGGUGAAUGACCGUUAAAAUCAAAUUUUACAAAUCUGUGUUUUAUUUUACAUAAACAGAAACAUAGUUACUUCCCAAUUGCCAGACCAAAAGAUAAUAUGCAGAAAAGCAAACUUCUACAAUAUAUCAAGCAAAAUAUUACUCUCUGCUCUCCAGAUUAAUGUUGCCAAAACAAAUGAUACUAGAAUAUGCAAAAUGAAAGAUAAUCACAAAAUUAUGAGCCGCAUGAGACCCGAACCAGAACUAAUAGAGCUGAGACCCAUGUAAGGAGAAGAGUUAGGCAUAGUAAAUGCAGAUUCUACAGUUCCCAAGUUAUCUAAUGAUACUACACAGAUUAGAUAAUUAAGUCACCUGUAACUUUGUUAACCUAGACCGUGCAGAGCCUAGAAAUAGUUCAUGCUGUUCAAUUAAACCAGCAACAGCAUCCUCAUCACUUCCAGAUGGAUCUUCCUUUUCAGCUGGAGCACCACGUCUCUGUUCAAAUCAAUGGAAUCAUUAGCAACGAGAUUACUAUUUAAAUAAAAAAGAAUAUAGGAAGCCAUAUAUUUAAAGAAAAAAGAAUAGGCAGCCAUACUUUGAUAAAUACAGAAAAUGAAGAUGCUAUGCACACUAAUGAAAUCAGUUGGAAUUCAAAGGGCAUUCCAUGAAAAAGUAUGUCAACUAUAACUGUUAGACAAAUAAAGUAUGCAAGUUCUACAUAACCGUCAUGGCCACUUUUUAGCAGCAUAUGUGGAAACAUACAGAAGAAUAAGGCAUGCUCGCAGCAGCAAUGUUCACAGAAGAAGUGCUAGUCGUGGGGCCUUCAUAGCUAGGAGAUUGAUCCCUGCUUUCCCAAUUCGCAACAAGUGACCUUGUUCUCCCUAUAUCAUAGUCAGAAAAUAAGACAUUCAAGCUGACUGAAUUUUUUAUGAGCUUAACUUCACAGAAGUAUACCUCCUUUUGAAACUUCCACAGAGCAAGCAUCACUAGGCUUAUGGACUCGAAUGUUGUCUACAACAACAUUUAGUAAUUAAAAAACGAGAGAAAAAUUAUAAAAAAAAAAACAGUGAAAACAACUGGAAGCACUUAAAGCAUGGCAUAGAGCAACAGCUUCUGAACAUACAUUUCUCAUGGUGGUAAGUUUGAGAUGGUUCCACUGGAAGAGAAGAACUCAGUCUCCCUGUUGCAACUUGUUUAAUAUCAUCUGCUUGAUCUUCUCCAAUAGUCAUUAUUUGAUUACCAUUAUUUCCAACAGAAACAUAAGGCCUGUUCAUAGCUUCAUUUGAUUCUGUAACUUUGUUGCCCAUAUCAUCUUUAUCUGAAUCAUCGUUGAUUUUUGCCGGUUUUCGACGGUCAGCAAACUUUGACCGUAGACUAAACGGUAGCGUUCUCCCAACAACAGACUCUUUUCUAGAAUCAAGGGUUGACUCCACUCUCGAGCUUGUUCCAGCUACUGUGACAGCGCCCACGUCGCCCAUUUCUUUUCUGAAAUCAGAGGACUGCUCCACUUUAGGGUUUGUUCUGGGUACAAUAACAGGAAUCACAUCACCAGAUUCCCUUAUAGAAUCAGAUGCCAGCUCUGUUCUCGAGCUAGUUCUAGGGACAAUAACAGGUACAACAUCAGCUCUAUUGAAGCUCAAAACAUUGGCUGUAGAAUGGCUUUUUGAUGAAUUUCUCUUCAGGUUGGGUGUACUCGAUGCUGGACCUGAACUUGAAGCAGUUGGUUUUGCAGCGGCGCUAAGUCCGAUUCUUUGAGGAGUACCAGGAACACCUACAGUUGUUUCAGUUUCAAAAUUAACAGUAAAAUUAGAUACUCCACGAAUGCAAACAUAGAUUCGAUAAGCAAUCUAGAGAAAUUGAUAGCCUACAAGCAAUAGGUUUAGCCUCUUUAGCUCCUGAAUCUGAAUUUUGCGAAACUGAUAGUCUUCCCAUAGUAGUCUUUAUACUGCCAUCUGGAUCUUGUGGAACUGAUAGUCGGCCCAGAUCUUGUGGAACUGAUAAUCGGCCGGAACUAGACUUAGUGCUGCUGUCAUUUUGCAAUGGUGUGUUGCCGUUUGAAUUAGAUUUUGAUUCUGAAUGACCAUUUUCUCUUGCAGGAGUAGCCAUUGCGUAUGGCUCGACACGCUGCCAUUUGAGAAGUCAGUUGUAAACUUAUUAAAUUUCAGAUCAGUGGUAGUGCGAAAUAUACAUGAAUUUCAGAAGAUACCGAGAGAUCCACGACCCAAACUCCAACACAACUUUGAUUGAAAGAACAACCAAGAAGUUUUUUAUCAUGGACGUUCAGGUCUGAUAGUCUUGACCAUCCCACAUCCACAGCAUCAUGGCAUCUUAUUGGUUCCCAUGAGAAAACCUAGUCAAUGCAAAUAAAGAUUGAUAAUUGAAUAAAGAAAACAAGAAAACAAAAAAGAGAAAAUAAUUUCUACCUUCAGACUCUCAUGCAAUCCACAUAGCAAAGUUCUUCCAUCAGGAUUGAACGUCAUAGACCGAACGCCAGAGGUCUGACAUUCAAAAAAAAAAAAAUUAGCUAUUCUAGUUUCCAGUCCACUCAAUCUUUUUUUUUUCCCCCACCAUUUAAAAUCCGACAUAAAAAUUAGCUAUUCUAGUUUCCAGCCCACUCGAAUCUUUUUUUUGUUUCCACCAUUUAAGAUCCGACCUGAAGAUUGAUAAUGUGACCCCAUAGAUAUAAGGAAAAUUUAAGCACAGGUAUAUAACCAAAAAAAAAAAGAAGAAAAGAUAUAACCUAAUGCCAAAACUGUAACCCAUUAAGAUACCUCAGGUCCAGCAGAUCCAAUCAACUCAAAAGUUUCAAGAUCCCAGAAUUUGACAGUCCUAUCAGCUGAACCUGUAUAUUUAACAAAGAGAUGAUGAAGAAAUUCAUCGUGCCAAUUAAGAAGAUACUAAGUUAAACACAAAAUUCCUCGAAAACUUUUAAAGUGUUUAGCAGAUCAGAAUUAUUUAACUUGCAGAAAUAAAUGCAGUCUAAAAACAGAGCUGCCUAGAAAGGAAAGCCUGUUAGGAGCAAGUGGCUUUAUUCUGAAAAAGAAUAAUGAAGACCCAUCAUAAACUGCCGGCCAUACUACUAAUACACAGAAUCUUUUGUAUACAUGUACGUAAUCCUAUCAGGCCAUUCCAUUCGUAAGACAUAAUAAGGGAAGGCUCAUGGAAUUCUGGAGGUGAUAGCAGGCUACCUUCUGGAAAGAAGGCCUUUCUGGUACUUCUAACACAUUUGUUCCAUAGGAUUUAAUCCUUAAUUACAUUAAAUCAAAAUUUAAGAAAAUAACUGAUGAGGUUAGCAAUCAAUAAUGGUUAGAUUUUUUCUUUUUUUUCUUUCAUCCUAAGAUCAUCAUUAUAGAUAAUUACCUUUGCCCCACUUUAAUCCACAACAUCGUCAUUCCUUUUCUCAAAUUAACUUAAAGUAGGUAAUAAUUACUCAGAUACAAACACAAACAUGACCAGGAAAUUCCAUAUCCUUCUGCCUUGCAUGGCGAAAGAGAAACCCUUGGCCACUGGUCAGCAAAAAUACACACACGAAAUAAAAUGACGAAGAAAAGAAGAUAAAUGAAAAUAAAAAACAAAAUAUAGAGUGAUAACAUUUGUACUUCCAGCAAAUCAAUUAUUUUCAAGUUGUAUUAUGCAUCUAAAAUAUGCUGUACCAAUUGAUGUUUCCAUUUUCUGAGAUAAGUGCAAGGAACAAUCUAACCUGUUGCCAAGAGAAACUCGUGAGGAUGGAAAUCGAUGCACUGAACCUGGCCCUCAUGGCACUUAAAAUCAUGUAACAGCUUCCCUGCAGUCAGAUCCCAAAGCUGUCGAGGCAACGUUUUUCAGUAAACUGGUGAGGAAGUUACUAGAUAAAUAGGACAUACAAAAUAUGUAAGACAAGACUUUUUCUUUGAUUCAUACCAGAUUCUUGUACUCAAAAUUAUUUACACUGUAAAAAUUUAAAACUUUAAAAGAUAGCAAGUGCGAUGAAUCUUGAUUCAUUUCCACUCUUCAAUGAGUAAUCAAAGAACUCCAAUAUUACCUUCACGGUAUUAUCUUCUCCACCGGAAACAACCCACCGACCAUCAGGCGUGAAUCGAAUAGCAUUAACCCCUCUUGUAUGGCCUUUAUAUGUGUGGAUACAACCCUUCCUUCUAAUAUCCCAUAUCUUCAGAUUUGUAUCCAACGACCCAGAAGCAAAGAACUCUCCAAAUGGGUGGAAGUCCACUGAAAUGCAAUUUGACCUGUGUCCCGUCAGAGUGCGAACAACUGCACCCAAAAAAGAAAAAGUCAGCUGACUCACAGGAGAUAAGUCCAGUACAUUAAUGUCAAUUAAAAAAGGAUAUACAAGAUAAGCAUCCAUACUCUUUGCCUCCUCUAAAUCCCACAACUUUAUUGUGCCGCUAGCUGCUCCAGCAGCAACCAAUACUUCGGAGGAAUCAAAACUAACUGACUCUACAGCACUUGUAUGCCCAGAUAGACUCUGCACACCACACCCUGAGCUAGUUAUAUUUCUCAUUCUUUGAAUCUAUUGUUGCAUAGUUGGAAAGAAGCAUACUGCAUGUACUUAAUAAUUUGAAGGUAAAUUAGCAUUAUGAGGCUGGUUAGGAACACACCAGUAUGGAGUUGGGUUUGCCAAUUGCCCAGAGAUUAACCUUGUGGUCCUCUCCUCCAGUGACAAGAACCCUAGAAGUUUUCCUCCCAAUCUUGAGACAAUUGACAUUGGAAGAAUGUGCAACAAACUCCUCUGUAUUUCAUGUAGUCAAGGCACACAUUUCUCGUCCCUCGCAUUGAAGGUUGCAUUUGGCAUUGUUCAUGGGUUCUAAGUUUUUUUUUUGUUUUAACCAUAAGAAAACUUAAGAUUCAAUAAUAUGCUGAGCUACACUUCUUUUUGAUUUUGUUAUUAUUUUUUGUUACCAAAGUUGUCUCUGUUUAAAACAAACAAAUUACCAUUGCAUUUAUUUUGUUUUUAAUCUCUAAUGUACAAUUGCUGCAAACUACAAAAACAGCUUACAUAUAAAACUAAAUAGCAAACUUAAGAAAAAAGAGGACAAAAUUACUAUACCAAAACAAACCCUAAAAUUUCCAGAGCAAUCAAUUAUUCACUCCAGUGCCAUUAUGACGAUCUUAAAACCACAGAGCACAGAGAUCACAGGAGCAAGUGCCCUAAAUAUGCCACCCCAUAAAUCACAUUCACGAUCCAGUGAAAUAAAUCUAACCUCCAUGUCAAAGAAGUGAGUUCCCUUAAUUAAUACCCGGAAAACCCUAAAACAGUUUCUCCGCACAAAUUAAAUUCAAACCAAAAAAAAAACCAAAAAUAGAAAGGAUACGUAGCUUGUAAGCGCGCUUGGUGGCGGUCGCCAUGAAUCCAGUGGCAGUGGGAAACCCCAGCCGAGCUCCUUCCUCUUCGUCUCCUACAAAUCCAACAAAUCCGGUUCCCCGAUCCAACCCCUCCUCCCCUCAUCUCAGAUCGGACCAACUCAUCCUACAGCGGAUCUCGACGAUUCGAUCCACCAUUUCUCUAUACUCAAGUAAAGACCUCUUGUUUGGUCGAGACAAGCUAAGUUACCUCAGAGAACAAGCUAUCUCACCAUGGAAGCGCCGCCACCGAGCUGCGGAGCUCGGGAGGAAGGUAAGAGGAGCGGCAAUGGCGAAGGGUGAGAGUGAGACGGAGCUAAUUAGGGCUCGAAAUGCUUGACUUCUCAGCUACUCUCGCCGUUGUGUGAGGGUGGAGAGAGAGAGAGAGAGAGAGAGAGGAAGAAGAAGAGGAGGGAAGGAGAAACCGAGCUUUCGUAGAGACGGGUUACGACCCAAUAGGGAGGGUUUGGUUUCAAAUAAAAAAAAAAAAAGAAGAAAAUAAAUUAAAUAAAUCAUGUGUUUGGUGUUUUCUCCUUCUUUUUUUUUUUUUCUUUUUUAUUUUUAUUUUUUUUGAAUAGGAGUAAACUAGAACUUGCCUGGUUGUCCCUCGCUGCCACUUCAUAUCUCGUUUUUGGCCUAAUAAAUGGCUUUUUAUUUUCCUAAUUUUAGUCCUUUUAUAAAUAAGUAAAGUUGCUAAAAAAUUAAAUUAAAUUAGAGCCCAAGAUUUGUUAGAAUAAUACAUAAAAUUAGUAGUAUAGGAGUAAAUCGAAAAGUUUCAUGGAUCAUGAGAAGUUGAAACUAUUGAAUCAAUUUAUAUUGAAUAGCCAUAUUAGGAUAAAAUCAUAGAAUUGUACCAAACAAAUUGAGAUUGAUCCAGAUUAAAUUUGUAAAUUAUGUUGUAUCUUCCUAGUGAUAACUCUGAAUUGCUAUCCUCUUAUUUUCUUUUAAUUUCUACUUUGUUGUUUUUCAUUUCAAUAUUGUUCUAUAUUAAUUUAAUUUUAUACAGACAAAUCUGACAUACUAUAAUAUGAAUUCAAAAUUUGAAACCGAUCUAAAAUAAUGGAUGGAAUGUUCGUUUAUUGAACAACAUAUCGUUCCACAUCUUAAUUCACACACCUGUUUGAUCUAAUCAUUAGAUCCUUUAGUUACAUAAUUUGAAUCAGAAUUGAAUCUCAUUUCAACACUAUACUCAUUUGGUUUCAUUUACCCAGAAAAACAAAUAGGUAGCCUAGCGCUAUUGUAUUUUAUUCUAGUUUAAACCUAAAUUCUUUAUACGGGCUAAUCUUUUCGUAUAUUUUAAAUUAAGACUUUUUUUUUGCAUUUAGCACCAUAAAAAAAAAUUAUAAAUGAUAGUAGCAAAUUUAUAUUUACAUAUUUAGGCCUUUUCUUGUAAUGUGAGCACCGUAUUGACAUCGUGAUUGAAUUACUAUAUUUAUAUCUACACCUUAAUUCCUUUGCCUUAACUUAGAGUGAUAAGAAAUACGAAAAAAAAAUACGGUGAUUCAGUCACCAUAUUUAAAUACGGUAAUUGAAUCACUGUAUCUAACUUAAAAAUACCACUUAGGUGCUUUGCGGCAAAAAAAACAGUAUUAUUUAUAUAAAUAUAAAUUUGUUAGAAUAAUUUAUAAAAUUUUUUGUGAGGAACCUAAAUGUAAAAAAAACCCUUUAAAUCUACUAUUUGGAUUCACUAUUGUUGCUAUCAAACUAAAUAAAUUAUUUAAAACGCGUUUGUCCACGACCAUGAGCUCCAUUGUUUCCCGGGAUCGAGCUUUGACCAUAAGAGGUUGAACUUUGAAGGGGAAGAGCUUUUGCAAAGGUUUAAAUAACAUUAUCAAAAAAAUUUCCAAUAAUUUAUUUUAGUAAAAUCUCUAUUAUUAAUUUUUGAUACAGUAUUAAAAUUUGAAUUUUACUAUUCAACCUUUCAAUUUAUUUUAUUUAAGCCCAUCAACGACGUUUUAACUUUAAAAUUUGAAUGUGUGGUUUAUUUUAACAAAUUUAAUUAAUAUAUUUUAUAUAACUCUUGUAACUAUAAUUUAUUAAAAUAAAUAAUUAGGUUAAAAUUUGAAGUUAAAGUAGUGGUGGCUGAUUCAAAUCAAACAAAUUGAAAAGUUAUAUAGUAAUAUCGAAAUUUUAAAAAGUUGUACAGUCAUUCAAUAUGAUCUAUAAUUCUGAUAGGUUCUGUGAGUAUUUUACUUUUUCUUUUUUUUUCUUUAGAGCUUUGUGUUUAUAACUCACGUUAUAUUUUGAUUUGUACUAUUAUUAGCAAAUCUUUAUGAAAAACUAGAAGGAAUUUUAUAUAAGAAAUAAACUGUUGUACUUGGAACACAAAUAGUAAAAUUGGGACCCUGAACCAUAUAAUGAUGAUUUUAAUAAAGCAUAUUCCGUAACAUAUGUGGCUCGUGCGAACAACUCAUUGGCAUACUUUUGAGAACAAGGUUUUUAGUCAACUUCACACGGAAAACCCUGAUGUUACAUUUCUUGCUUACUUAGAUAACGUGGUUACCACUUUUGGCGAAAAUACAAUAUAAAAUUCAUAUAAACAUAAUUAAAAAUAUAUAAUAAUUAAAUUUCAAAUUUAAUAACUCACAUACCAACUAUUAAAUUCCCAUCCAACUGUGCUAGAUAUGAUCAGUGUUUUUAAAAAAUGUUAUUUGAAAAUACAAAAUAUGACGAAAUAAUCUUAGAAAAAUAAAAGAAAAAUGUGCAAAAUUUUAGAGUAAAGUGAGAGCUAAAUAUUUUAUCCACUCAAACUCUCUCUCUGGGAUAUGUUUUAAUAAAAUUCAGCAUAACUUAGAGUUAAUCCAAAUAUCUUAAAUAAAGAAAAUUUGUUUUUAUUUAAAUAACACUGUUUUGAACAAGUACUGUGCCAUUAAGAAAAACUCUGAAUUAAAUUUCAGAGUUCCCAAACAAAGCCUAAUAGUGUUUAAUAGUGAAUUGGAAUGUGUACGUGUGAAGGUUGAUUGUAAGUUAAAUUGGGUUCGAUCAUUUAGUUGGUUAGUCUCAAUCAUGAAGCCGUUGUACCAACUGACGAAAUCUAAUUCAGAAUUAGGCAUUGUUAUUGGAGGAAAAAAAAGCCCACAACUACUAGAUUUGCCUAUGAAUAAAAUUAUUAGGGGUACAUAUGAAGCCAAUUAAGAGGAAACAAGUGAUUAUCUUAUAGUUUUAGUUUGAGAUCUAUUCCACAAUAGGUUGCUAAACUUUUACUCAUGUUUCUCUUUGAUUCCUAAUAUUUGAUUUGUUGCAUUGUGAAGCAUGAGUUAUUAUUACAUUGUUCUUAUUUUAGUCCCAAUGUCGGCUUGUCUAAUUUGGCAUUUCAAAUCACUACGCACGCAACCAUCAGGAUGAGUAUAAAAUGUAAAAGGACCGCUCUCUAACCGCUUAAAUUGUUGGAAAAAACUUAGGUCGUUUCAUAUUAUUUAUAAAAUAUCAGGACAGGAGGUUCUGAGUUUGAUUCACAUCAGACAAUUAGGAUUUUUUGAUUUCCUCCUAUUCAAGUAAAGUAAUAAGCCCAGAAAGGGUCGUUUACAAUGGUUGGAACAUCCUAAUAUAAUGUAUUAAAGGUAAUACAUUAAAAUGAAUUUUGAGAAAAACGUAGCAAGCUUAUCUGCUUUAUUCAUUUUUUUUAAAUGAACUCAACUUAAAAAUGUAAAGCUAUUAAAACUUUGAACUUGAGAUAUUGGUACUAACCAUCAAGCUCUUAGUCAACUAUGCUAGGUACAGGCAAUGAGGCAUUAAAAUAAAAUGAAGUAAUUGAUUAGGGAUUAAUAGUGUAGUUUAUUUAGUUUGUUGGGAGUAUCAUACAUGGUAUUAAAACUAAGAUGCAAGAAUAUGUGAAGCAUAUUUCAAGGGGCCGAGGAUUCUCAACAACAUUGCUGCAUUAAGAUCCUACAAUUGUGAUCAAGCUAGUGUCGGAUCGUUGGCGCUAACCACUAAUCCCAAAAGCUCAAGCUGUUAGAAAUACGCAAUUAAUUUACUUAAAGCUUACAGAUACAGCGCCCACAGAUCAUGAUUGUGUCACGAUUGUGACUCGGCCCAAUCAGCCUCAUGCCACUUUGAACGUAACUCGGCCCACUUGGUCUCCCGUCACAGGGCAGGAUGCUGGCCCAUUUAAGCCAACAAUCUCCCCUCCAAUCCCCCCUACAGCACUUGUACAUAUUUGCAGCAUGCGAGAAUCGAAUCCGUGACCAGUGGCUCUGAUACCACUUGUCGGAUUGUUAGCGCUAACCAUUAAUCUCAAAAGCUCAAGCUGUUAGAAAUACGCAACCAAUUGAUUUAAAGCUUACAGAUACAGCGCCCACGGGUCACGAUUGUGACUCAGUCCAACCAGCCUCACGCCACUUCGAACGUGACUUGGUCCAAUCUAGCCUCACGCUAUUUCGAAUGUAAAUCGGCCCGCCACAUGACAGGAUGCUGGUCCAUUUAAGCCAACAGCUAGGACAAUUAAUUUCUAUCGAAGAAAAUAAUUUAAGACUCGGAAUACUAUAACAAUUUGAAUGAAUAAUCAACAGCACCUAAAUACUAAUAUUAUAGGAAAAGUUCUUAUAUCCACGCUUUGCAAAGCGUAUGCUUAGGGCUAUAAUUUAAAUGGCAAUUAAAUUGGUAAUUUGGGAUGGAAGAGACUAAAAGAAACUGAUUAAGGGCGAUAACGAUGGAAAUAAUGAGAUAAUGUUGUGUUGUGACCAUCCAAACAAGCACAUGCUCAGGAAUAAUUAAAAGGCCAAAGCAUGAACUAGGAAAAACCUAGAUCAUGGAGGGGACCAUUUGAUUCAAUCAUACCCCCUCUGCUUCUAAUAGUUUAGAAUAGUGUGACAUACCACAUGCUUACCAUUGAUGAACAUGUGCUUUUUUAGCCAUGUAUGAAGUAUUGUGCAUACUAUUUUUGUUAAUUGGGUUUUAUUUUUCAUAAAGUGAUUUGUUAUUGGUGUAUGGGUUAAUCGUUUAACGAAACUAUUACACAACCAUAAUGUGAAAAAAUGAAAGGAAAAACAGGGCAAAGAGAUUUUUGUCAUAUUUGAUAUACUCGGAAGUGACGUGUCAACUACACUUCAGAGAAGAACUAUAAAUUCUUUUUCACAAAAAGAGAAGCUCGAGAACAAACUAUUUUAAUAUUAUUGGAAAAUAAAAACAUAUGAAUAUAAGAAAAGAAAGAAAAUGUAAACAUUCUCUUAAUCUUCCUUAAGGAGUGUUACCACUAACCCAACAUAUAGUAUGUAAACAUGUUACAGUCAAUAGUAGGUUUUUGUUUGCAUGUUUGUACCUUUUUUUAAGUACUUGGAUACUGUGUUCAAGUACAACAAAAACUGCAGGAAUAUUUACUCUUUUGCGCAGUUCAUACAUCACCAAAACAUCGAUCCUCCAAUGUGAAUGAAAUUGUACGAGAUAAGCAAAAAUUUCAUCUUCUUUUGAGAUUCUGCUCAUCGGAUCAAAAGCGCGGCCUCAGGUUGCGCAAAGUAUUUCGCUAAAUCAGCUAGCAUGACCAUCUUGUGGACCUUAGUGCUCAAGAACGCGGACGACAAUGCCCACCGCGAUGGUACUCCCCGAUGCUCGCAAGAAAACUCUACCGAGAGCUCGACAAUUCGAGAACUCUUCCACACAAACUGCUCCAUCCAGCUUUACCUGAAACAAGAUAAAAAAAUGUUUCUGCUAUGUAAGUGAAUUUUGACGUCGCGUAUGGUGACGACAUGGCCAUUUCUAUCCCAUUUAAGCAAGGAACUUGAUGAAAAGGAAAAGAUGCAAAAGUUAGGACCCAAAUUGUAAAAAUUGAAAGGUUGGGGGGUUCAAAUAGAAACCUUCUAAAAUGGUUGGGAAUCCAAGAUGCAAUUUACCCUUUGCAGAACAACCUAAUCUUGGUCUAAAUAUGACAAAAUGACCUAAUGAAGCUUACACAAAACGCAAAUGCGCAUAUGACAUUAUGCCUGAAAUUGAUAAAAGGUGUGGACAUUAACUGGCUAUAAAAGGUGUGGACAUUAACUGGCUAGCUAAUAUAGAUGGGAACAAUAACAAGCAUACCUCUAUGAUAGCACUUUGCCUUGCUGUAAGCAUCCGUGGCGCCUUCUUAGAAACAUUUCCAGUUUUCUGAUCUACCAAAGCCAAUAUUUUCACCACCCUCGCAGAUUCCUUCGCAUGGUGUAUAUGGAGCUCGACCUAAUAAUUAGGUUGAAUGCUUCUCUCAAAAAAUAAUUAGGUUGAAUGCACAUGAUAUGGCAUUAGUAAAGUGGCUUUCACAUAAAUAUCCCUACCAUAUCAUCUAAUUAAAAUCAUACCCCCAGCAUAUUCCAAUUUUCGUAUAUAGCCUCAAAAGCGCAAUUUUUCAUAAAAGCACCCUUAUCUUAAGGUAGAGAGUUGUAAAAUUCGUAGGAGGGCAGGGUUUUUAACUACAAGGAUAUGUAAAAAAGAAACUGAAUUUUUGAAUAGCAUAUAUGAAAAUUUCAGAUUGUCUCCUACCAAAACAACCACUAAACCCAGACAAAAAGAUUCAUUUGGGACCUAACCUGAACGCCAACCAAAAUCGGAAUAGUUAUAUCCAAGACAAGGACUUUAAGCUCCAAACUAGUUGCAACUUUCACGGGGAAAUUUGGUUGGCACAACACUCCACCUUGGAUCACGUGGCUAGCAUCCACGCCUGGCAAACUAACAGCAAUAUUAUCUCCGGCUCUCGCCAUGCUGCAACUAGUAGAGUCACGCUCAAUAGUUCGAACUGUAGCUAAAUCUCCUGAAGGCAUAAGGAGAACCUGAAGACAAGUCGCCUAAAAUCAACAACUGCAGAAGCUUUUCCAAAUUUCUCUUUGGUGGCCGUCACAGUUGUGGCUCUUUUUUGGUCAACUCGCAUGGAAUCUAUUGCUAAGUAGCUACAUAGAAAAGUUACAACUUUUUACCUAAAACAUGACUGAAAAGGCAUACCUUAGAACCAACACGAAUUGCUCCAGUCUCCAAUUUACCACAAGCUGCCACUUGACCUAGAGUGUGUGAGGUGAUAACAUCACAUAUUGGCAGAAGAAGAGGCUUAGAAACAUCACGAUGUGGUGGCUGUAGAGAGUCAAUGGCAUCUAAUAGACAGUAUCCUGUGUACCUACAUAUUCAGUCAUCAUUUUCAGAAAGUAACUUCGCAAAAAAAUAGUAUCUGUUAAUUCAUCAAUGCCCACAAAACUGGGACAUUAUCUCAAGCAGUUAAUUGUUGCUUCUAUUGCCAAAGAGUAACUGCUUCAUGUACCUAAGAAGUUACACAAGAAUGUUGUUCCUGAGUAAACUUUGGAGGCAUGGCAACAAGUGAUGUCAUGUUCGAAGUUUAAAUGGUGAAAGCAAUCACUAGCUGUCCCGCGUAUCAUGCUGCCUCAUUAACAAAAUUCUAAGGUAUAUUUUGAGAGGCGGCAUUACUGUUUGCACAAGAAACAAUAUGAUUACAUGCAAAUAUAUCUCGUAUGAGACAAUCAAAGAAUAACUAAAUUACCAGGAAGUCAACCGUGUAUCUGAAGCAGUUGCCACCAAAUUUUGAUUUUCCAUUGCACUAAGUGGAACCCAUGUCAUUGACAAUUCUUUGAACCCACAGGAACGUAGGAAAAGACCAAGUUGGGAUUUUAUCAAUUCAAAUCGUUCCUUAGAGAAGUCUACCACAUCCAUUUUGUUAACAGCAAUGAUAAUAUGCUCCACACCAAAGCUCCUGGUAAGUUGUGCAUGUUCCUUGGUCUGACCAACACCAUUACCGCUCAUGCCUGCUUCAAAUGAACCUAUAGAAGCAUCAACAACUAGAACAGCAGCAUCAGCUUGUGUUGCACCAGAUAUCAUGUUUGGAACAAAAUCCUUGUGGCCAGGGGAGUCAAGAAGAACAACUCGGUAGUUUUUUGACUCAAAAUAUGCAACGGCCACUGUCAUUGUUAUACCCCUUUCUCUCUCAUAUGUACUCUCGUCCAUUGCCCAAGCAUAAGCAAAUGAGCCUUUUCCCUACAAUGAAAACAGAGACACUUACAUCUACAACUGUGGAAAAUUAUCUUUCUUAUUCAUAUCUUUAUGCCUGCACAUUUUUCGUGCACCCUUCAGAAAAAUAAUUUGUUACAAAAUCUACCCUUGCAAUUACAAAAAUUCUGCUAAUUGAUAAACUUCUUCUCACACAAAACCAACUUCCCACCAUGUAAAUCAUCAGAAAAGCACAUAAAACUGGAAUAAGUCUAAAAGAAACGUACCAGAGCAGGACCUCCCCGAAUAUAUCUACAUCAACAAUCAUAUACAAAAUAGCAAGCCAUUCACAAGGAAUCUAACCUUUUCUUUAGCUGCUUUCUCAUAUUUAUGCAUUUGCUUCUUGGAAAUCCGUCCCAUAAGUUGUAGCAGUCUCCCAGAUAAUGUAGACUUCCCAGAAUCAACAUGACCAACCUAAUAGGGCACGCGCCCAAUUAAUCUCAUGCAUGAUAAAGAAAAAGAAAAAAGUGGCAAUAAGAUUCUAAAACUAAAAAAGGUGAGAAGCCAACAAAUCAACAGAACUAGCAAAAUGGAUGGCUUACAAUUGCAAGAUUCAAUUGACUCGGCAACUGUUCUUCAUCAGAAAGCAUCCAUUUUUCGGGCUGGUACUGUAACAUGGCUUUAUUGCUUUUAUUAUGCCUGGAGUUUUUAUCCAACUUCAAGCCAGUUAGAUUCUCUUCUAAAGUUUGUGCUGCAUCUUCUUUGGUGUUAUUAUUGCUCUCAUCCUCAUCAAGUUGACCAGCUGUAACCAAUGAAGCUGAUGAACUGGCUGCUAUUCUGUUGUCUGGUAAAACAUUCACUAUUGCCUUCUUUCCCUUGAUGCCAGAUGAAGCCUUUGCUGAAGUUGAAGGUGCCGUGUCAACUGAUACAACAGAAUAUAGUAUACAAAAAGACAAAUCAAGGUAACCAUCAAAAACAGUAUCUAUUGGGGACUGAUAUGUACUUGAAGAAAUGCGUGUCAUAUAACUGAUUGCAACUUUCAUUCAGAAAUUUUGUUAUAUGGCAUGCUUUCUACUACUAAAAAGAGUAAAAGAUAAUAGAACUGCAGAUAAUCUUUAUGUGUCAAAGAACAAAAAGUACGUAGAACGCAUGUAAUAUUCCUCAAAAGAGUAGCAUGUCCAUGUGAGCUAACAAACAACUAGAAAAUUGAAUAAAACAUGAUUGCACCACAUCGCAGGCUUGGUAAAUCAUAACUGACGACUUUCUGGAUCACUAGGCUAACGAACUAAAAUAGCUACACUAAGUAAGAAGUGUAAUGCUUUAGACUAUAUAUUACAUUAAAGAAAUUAGUCAGAGAUUAACAAGGUACCUUUUAGGAAAGUUCCUGAAGGUUUCUUGCCUGCAGAAACUAUAUCAUCUGGAGAUGGUGUAUCAAACUUGAAAGGGGCUGUCAAUAUCAACAAAAUCCAAUCAUGUUCCAAUUAUUUCCUACAGGGAAAAUAAUCAUAAAAUAUUCAGAUCCAUAUUUGAGUAAAACUUGCAGAACAUGCUCAGGUUAUGGUCAUCAAAGAAGAGGGGAAAAAAAGAAAAGAAAAACAAGCAAGUCCAGAUGAAACAGAAAAUGGUUGAGGUCAUCAAAUAGCCCUUCACUAAGCGAGCACCGAACAAUGAAGGUAUCAUUGUAAGCAAAAUUCCUAAUAACAACAAGAAAUCGAAAAAGCAUUAGUGAGGUUAUGCAAUCAAUCUACGGAAUAUGUAACAUACUUAUAUUGACAGAUGGAUUGUAAAUAGGAGGCAUAAAUGUCCUCUGGAGGUCAUUAAAGCUUGUGUGCAUAUAUCCUUUCUCGCUCCUGGUAGCUUGCAAACCAUCUGUGAUGAGAGCUGCUUUGGGCAUCCUAGAAGGCGAUGGGGUAAAAAGAGACCUAGCCAUAAUAGAUACUCCGGAACCCUUCUGCUUGCCAUGAACUGCACCAAAUAUAAAUAUUUUAAUUAGGCAGAAUUUUAGAAGAUAGUACAUUGAACUUGAAGGCCAGAAUCAUAAAAAGGAUAAAAGAAAAAAAUAGUUGUUUUGGCUACUGAUGCUACAAUUAUCAAGGAAACUAAUAUACCAUCUCUUUCGCUAUCGUUGCCGAUUAUACCAUUCAAAUCCCGCACGACGCCACAUAUGUCACAAGAAGAAGAGAUUUCAUCAUUUUCAUAUGUACAAAUCGAGCACCGCCAAAUUCCAGGCUUGGUAGUUAAUUCAUCCAUCUUAGAUCUUCAUCCUACGAUGAAAUUAAAAAAGGAGAAGAAAAAUUUUCAUUUAUUUCGAAUGGUUCUUAUAGCUUAGAAAAGCCAACACUUCAAAAAACCAAAAAAGAAAGAAGAAAAACAACACUGUAUUCAUAGAAACAACCAUGAUAUUUCAAAAUGAAAUCUCUUACGCUUUUACUUCCGAAAUACGGAACCCGUGCCGAAUCUAUUCCAAAUUUAGGAGCUCAGCAAAAACUAAAGCCCAACCACAUCAGCAGCAACAUACAAAUGAAGAGUAACCAGAAUAUUUGUUAACAAAAUUAAAUAAUUUUCCAUCAGCAACAUCUAAAUGAAGAAUAACCAGAAUAUUUGUUAACCAAAUUAAAUAUUUUUCCAUCAAUCUUAUGAAUUUAAGCACCAUACGGAAGUCCUAAUCCACUAAAGUCUCAAAUAACCCGCUUUAUUCCAACGAUUCUAACAAAAUUACACCUCAAAUCGAAACUAAUAAACAAAUGCAAUACUUAAUUACAUUGAAAAUGAUGAAUAAUCAAAGCAAUCGUGGUCUAAAAAGAUAGAAACAAAGUAUCUAGCACCAUUUCUUCUUAUCUUCUAGCAAAAUCUAAGGGACAACGCAGGUUUACUUGAAUUGGGGCAAGGAAACAGCUCCAUAAAUUAUAAAAAAAAAAAAGAGAGAAGGAAAAGAAGAAUACCUCGAUUAAUCGAUCGUUCCCCCCGUACAACUCGAUCAAUCGAAACCUCUAUUGAGAUCAAUCGCCAUUCGCGCGAGUCCUAGAUACGGGAUUCGAAAGCUUUUUCGGGUUUUAAAUUUGUAGAACUUCACUGAACCCAAACCCCUCUCCCUUCUCGUUCGUGAUUUAUACUCAAUUUUUCACUCGUUUAUUUUAGGGGAAACUUCAAAAAUGCCCCCACGUGGUUUUGCAUUUUCUCACUUUAGUACCCUAUAAUUUCAAAUAUUUUAAGUUAGUACCAUAUAGUUUCACACUUUCUUACUACUAAUUUAAAAGUGGUUUCAAGUGUAUCAAGUUUUAUCCUAUGGUUUUGCAUUUUCUCACUUUAGUAUCAUGUGAUUUAAUAUUUCGUUAAAUUAUAUAUCCCGAAAUGAAUAAUAAAAAGAGAAAAUUGAAACCAUAGAAUACUAACUUGAUACAAAAAUGAAACUAUAUGGUACUAACUUGAUACACUUGAAACCACAGGGUACUAAAAUGAGAAAGUGCGAAACCACAUGAUACUAACUUGAUGUAUUUUAAACCUGAGAAAAUACGAAACGACAGGAGCGGUAUUUGAAGUUUCCCCUUUAUUUUAUAAAUGUAGAAAUGUACGUAUCUCAUUUUAGGGGUCUACGUACAUUUUCGUGCACUAACACUACAAACGAAGGCCCAAGCCCCAUACAACAACAAGGCCUGGACCAAUGAUUUUGUAGCCCGUAUGUCCUAGGCCCAUCUAUUGCAACAAAAAAAAAAAAAAGAAAAAAUUGGAAAAAUGUUUCGAGCUUAAAAUAUAGAAAAAAUAAGUUACAAGCUAUUUUAUGUGUUGAAAAUUUUAUAUGACUCUUUUAUGUGUGCAUAUUGGCUAAUCAAAAUUCUCUACAAAUUAAUUGAUCUGUAACCAUACUAAAACCUUUUAUAGCAUUCGUACAUAGCUCAUUCCUUAAAACGUUAGCGAUGAUGGAGUGUUGUAAUGCCUCAAACUGCACGAAAUUUAGAGAGUCAUCUCUUGAUCUGUCAUGUUCGUGGUGCUAUGCAAGACGUGUCUUACGUAAUAAAAUAGGAGUCUCCUCAGCGCUCACGAUAUGUUUGCAUGGCACUGUAUCUGUGUUUUGCUCUUGCACAAAGCCGAGUCUAAAAGUUCGUUUGGCAAUCCUGAGAGGAGCUAGCGUUUUUGCGUUACGUAGUCUGUGUUGUGCACAAGGAGAAGCUUCUUACAAACAUCUUAUGCAUGCCUGAUGCUAAAAUUUAAGUGCUAGACAACAACACGGCACAAUAGUCAAUGUCAAAGUAACUUGUUCCUCCUCUCGGAGAGAAUAAGGAAAUGGUCAAUGCAUGCAUGCGUGUAUAUAAAUAUAUAUCCAACUUAUAAACAACCUCGAAUAGCACGAAUGUUGGCGCGCGGGGGAGAAUAAGUCCCCAGUUAAUAUAUACUUUGUUCCGAGCUCGCUUUUAUUUUAGCAAGCAACCGUGGGGAUUAAUUCAUUAGUUGGUGGGGUGUGGAGGGGACAUGAACCUGGUCGGUGCGACCGACUUUGUGCAUUGGGUUGGUUAAUUUAAGUUAAUUAAGGGUGGGAUUAGGGGAUAAUUAAUUAGGGAGGGGAAUGGACAUAUAUAGAAUCCAUCCGUGUGUUACCAAACGAUUAAUAGAUUUAUAUAUAUAUGAGUCCGGCUGGGAUACUAUUGAUAGCACGAAGUAUUUGGUAAUAUCAAGUUUUCUGCCGUUAGAUUUACCUUGUUUAUCAUUUUCAUUCGUUCGAUUAUAUUAUUCAACCAACCACCCACUCAAACCUAGGAGGCCUAUAUUAUCCUAACCUUACAUCUUUUAAUCCAAGGGCAGAAAAGUUAAUAGCACCAAGUCAUUGGUGCUAUUAAUAGUAUUCCAGUUUAGUUCAUAUAUAUAUAUAUAUAGAGUCCGGCUGGGGUACUAUCGAUAGCACCAAGAAUUUGGUGCUAUUGAGUUUUUCACUGUUAGAUUUAACCUUUUGAUUAUUUUUACCCGUUAGAUUAUACUAUUCAACCAACCACUUACUCAAACCUAGAGGGCCCACAUCAUCCUAACCACACAUUUCUCAAUCCAAAGGUUAAAAAACUAAUAGCACAAACAAUUUGGUGCUAUUGAUAUAUAUAUAUAUAGCAUUAAACAUCUCUAAUUUUAAUUUUUUUAAGCUUAAUCUGAUUGUUUUUUAGAGAGGGCUUGGAAAAAUGAGAAUGUGCCCUUAUAUUGCACCUAAUAAUGUUGUUGGUACGUAUUAAAUGAUUGGGCUCUCUAUUCCAUGUCGAUCGCUAAUGAAGAUAAUUUGCUUUGCCAUUAGCAUGCGAGCUUCUCGAUCGUGUAUAUGAGAAUCCGCCUAAUCUUUCGAAGGCUAACAUUACGAGCUGUUAUUGUGUUAGCAUAUGUAAUACCCCACGUGAAUUAAUUUAAUUGCUAACACAUCCGCAAUUAUCAAAGAUCAUUUAUAGGCGACUCUCAAAGCAUGCAUUACAAUAUUACACAUCAUCCAACGCAUCCGUAAUCUAUCAUUCUUACUUACUAUGCAAAAAAUCUAUCUUAAUUUUAUUCAAAGGAAGUAGUGCAACUAUGCAAGUCGUUGGAUGGUACAUAUCGAUAUAUAAAGUGGGAUGGAUGAUUGAUAGAUAUCGCCACUAUAUGUACAAUUUAAUGGACGGACGAAAUAUGGACACAAACGGUUGCUCGCGAAUAUUGCGGUUGGUUCCUCAUAUUAUUGUCUAUAUAUAUAUAUAUAUAUAUAUAUCUACAGAGUCCGGCUAUGAUAUUUGUAAAAGCACCAAUUACUUUGUAUUAUAGGUUUUUAACUAUUAGAUCAGCACUGUUGAUCAUUUACACCCGUUAGAUUAUACUAUUCAACUAACCAUCCACUCAACCCUGGGGGCUCAUAUCAUCCUAACAACAUAUUUUUUAAUCUAAAGGCUAAAAACUUACAAGCAUCAAUGUCUUGGUACUUUUAAAAGCAUAGGAGCUCAAUUAUAUAUAUAUAUAUAUAUAUAUAUAUAUAUAUAUAGAAUUAGGCCGGAAUACUAUUAAUAGUAAAACGUUCUUUUCGCUAUCAAGUUUUUAACCUUUGGAUGAAAAAUUGAUAGUAAAACGCUCUUUUAGCUAUCAAAUUUUUAACCCUUGGAUGAAAAAUUGAUAGUAAAACGCUCUUUUAGCUAUCAAAUUUUUAACCCUUGGAUGAAAAAUUAUAGGGUUAGGAUGAUAUUAGUCAGUUAGAGUUGAGUGGUCCCCACUGGGUUAUAGUAUUUAAUCCAAUGGUUAGAAAUAAUGAAAAGAGUUGAUCCAAAGGCUUAAAAACUGAUAGCAACAAUAAGAUUUUGCUACUAAUAGUAGCCCAGUCCAACUCUCUCUAUAUAUAUAUAUAGACUAGGGCUAUUAUAUUUUUAUAAGUAUAAAUCUUUUUGUACUCAUAAAUUUUCAACCGUUUAAUAAAGAGAUGUACGAUUAGAAUGAUAAUGGUUUUCGGUUAGAAUGAUAGUAGUCUCCUUAGGUUGAGUAGGUGAUUGAGUGGGUAGGUGGUUGAAUAAUAUGAUAUAACAGAUGGAAAUAGUUAAAGGAAUAGAUUUAACGAUCAAAAAUUUAAUUUAUACUAGUUUUCAUUAGUUCAUACACAUGCAGUUUGAUGAGAUACUUAAAUGAGUUGUACUGGCAAAGAAAGAACACUUGGUGAGGGAUCGACCAGAGCAUUUUAUUUCUCAUUAAGGGACCGGUUCCCUCUCUCACAGGUAUGGAUGGAGUGUCACAUGCAUGGUUUCCAACGGUUAUGUACUUUGCUCAAUAGUAAAAAUAAGUCAUGAUGUUGGCCAUAAAAAGCAACUAUUUGAAAGGUGAAUUCAUCCCACCGUACAAUACCAGAUCAGUGCACUACUACGCGUACAUGUAUCUAUUGUUAUACAUAUGUGUAUACAUAGGAUGAUCUGGGCCUUUUGUUUUGAUAUAUAAUAACUAGCUUAAUUAGUCCCUAAAUUAAGUUUGAUAUUGAACUUAAUAUUAACAUAUAUAUAUAGGCAUUUACACAAAGAUCUAUCCUUAAUUAGUAAAGAGUAUAUCUGUGAAUAGUAACACUUUUUUUACAAGUAAGCUUCUGAAGUUUUACAGUGCGCACAAAUAAGUAAUGAUUUUUUGUGAACUAAAAAUAUAUAGUCAUAGGUAAUCAUGUUACCAAAAUAAAUAAUUAGGCCCUAAAUUACAAAAAAGACUUAAGAGUACAAUGCCUAUUAUGUAAUUAAUUAGCUUUAAAGGCAACCCUCAUGCAUGCAGCUGUGCAUGUUACUUGGACAUUGUAGUUGCAUCAUGGGAUUUUGCAUUCAUGCAUGCAUGUGAAGUGCUUCUACUGACAGUGUCGAUCUUUAUUACCAAAAAGAACAAAACACUUGCCAAACUUCCCUUAUAAAUUAGUUCAGUUCACGUGAAGGAUUCAUGCACAAAUUAACAAAAUAACACUCAAGAUCUUUCUCAACCGUUCAUCAUUUCUUACAUAAAAAGAAUAGUGAAUGAUGGUGUGAGUACGUUGUAGUACGUAGGGCAAAUUCUAAAUCACAAUGCAAACUAAAUAAUUAGUCGUUAGCUGGUUUAUAUAUGUAUUUUGUUAGUGUGCCCAUCACAUGAGCUUGCGUUUAAAUUUUUUGUUCUCCAAUUAUAUAUGAUAGUUUUAAGCCGAGGGGAUCAAACAAAAAGAAUAAAAAGGGGCUCCCAUAAAUUUGAGAGCUCAUAAGCCAUUGCCUACUUAAUUUCCAUGUGGACGACAACAUAUAAAUCUAAUGGACAAUUAGGCAACCUGGUAAUUGAGGCAUAUAUAACAUUUUGGGUGCUUUUCUAAUUGUUACAGCACAAGGACUAUAUAUGUUACUAUAAUAAGAAAAUAUCUUGAACCUUUUUUGAUGAUUUUAACAUGUUGGCUUAGUUGAGCACACGUCCAUGCACAUGCAUGUGCCAAAACUGGGAGACAAAUUCCAAACAACACUACUCAACUGGGAGAGUGUGUGUGUGUGUGUGUGUGUGUGAGAGAGAGAGAGAGAGAGAGAGAGAGAGAGAGAGAGAGAGAGGCCCAUGCGACUUGGGAUUUGUUCGGCUUUGUUGUAUGGUAUAAUGCUGUUGAAUAACAAGCCGUCUAAUUAGUUAGAGAAAAAAUUUAUCAUUAAAGCCUCUCUAAUAUUAAAUUCACACUUCUUCUGAUUUCAAGUCUCAAAAUUUUAAACUGUGUUAUUCCUGUUGCAGUAAAAGUUAUCUUUUGUUUCUGGUAAUUAUACUAAGAGCCAAACAUGCGCUUAGAGCUUUUCGAUAUGUCAAAAUAAUGUUGGAGGAAAAGAGAGAAUAUUGGUCCCCAUGAUAUGCGCAUAAAAUGAAGGUGCAUGUCAUCGUACAAACAAAAGCUCUGCCUCUUGGAUCGAAUCAUUAUUUACCAAACUACUUUUUGGACCACCAAAAACAAGAAGGUACGUAGUAGAAGGUGAUAAUGUGAAUUCCUCCUAGCUAGGAUUGUAAAAGAGUUAAAACCUUUCGAACUUGAUUAAUAUAAAGGUUUAUUAAGGUUAAUUUACACUCCGUUAAUUGCAUAGUUGCCUUGAAAAUAAACUCAAGGUGACUAUAAAAAAAUAGUAAAAUUUUUUGAUUGAUGCUUAUAUAGUACGAACGUCCUUUCGAAUCUCGCCUACGAAGCUGCAGUGAUUAGAUUUUAGUAACAUUUUUUGGAAUUUAAUUAAGUCGUGUUGCAUAUUAGACAUGAUGGACUAGCUAGCGGGGACACAUACAACUUUACGUACGUACGUAUUAGACACAAUUAGUACCUAUAACCGAUAAAACAACACAAACUAAGGAGUGUGAACUAAGUUGUGAUACCAUAUUAGAAGAUUUAAGCCUAACCCAAAAGCAUAACCCAUUAGGUGAGUGAAGAUACGUUCUACAUUAUACACAGAUCAAAAUUUCAUUUUGUACCCGAUAUAAUACUAUUAUUUUUAAUACUCGCGAUUCACUCUAUGUAUUUACUUUCUACUUAAAAAGUAAUUAUUAUUAGGGCAAACUUCAAUUUGUCUCCCUUGUGGUUUAACUCAUGUUUACUUUGCAUGUCACUCCAUGGUUCAAGAAGCCGCAUUUAAUUAUCCUUGUAUUUAUGCUCAUUUUUGCUUUUUCACUGUGUGGUCUAAGAAAAUAUACUAAUUAACUAUCUCAUAGGAAUCAGAAUUUUACUUUGCUAUCAUAUUUGACAUAUAGUAAGUUUUUUAGAUAAAAAUAAAGGUAAAUUAUGUAUACCCUUAUUAUUAAUAUACAAAGUUAUUUCGACUUAAUUUUCAACUAUUAAGUAAUUGGUCGAUUGAUUCAGUUAAAAAAAAAAGAGCAUCAAAAGGUGAAAAAAAGGAUCAUGAUUUAGGAGGGACCAUAUACCAAUAUGAAUCCAACAUUGUUUUAUGUUUUAAGAUCUAGUCAUGAGCAGAUCUGGUCCAGCCAUGUACCCUAUCUGCAUCCUCUUCUUGUCAGAUUUCGUAUAUAUAUAGUCUCCUUUCUUAGAGCAAUUGUUUUUUUUCGGAGAGAUAGGUAGCACGCUACCCGCUUCGUUUAUUUCAUUUAGAAAUAAACUUAGCUGGAAAUGUGAAUCAACUAGGAUUCGAACUUGAGUCUCGGGUACCAACCACCAAGCUCUUUGUCACUUGCUCUAGAAACGGUCGGUUCUUAGAGCAAUUGUUGUCUCUUUUUUUUAUGCCUCUGCAUGCGUUGUCAUCAAAAGUUCUAAAAAUUGGUGGUGAGGUAGUACAUGCAUUUUAUGGUCCCCAAAUUUUUAUAAAUUCGACAUUUAAUCCCCUUCAAAAGGAUGUAAAUAUCUCACUAUCUAUCCAAAAUAUGGUUUAGUCUAAACCAACAACAGUGAUCCAAUGACCAGACAAAAAAACGUGACUCAGCAGUUGAUUAAUUGAUCGAUCCUAUCUUUUAAUAUAUGAGGAAACUAAUUUCAUGCAGAAUUUUUCUAAGCACAAAUUAAAGUGGUUAACAAAAGUUUAGUAGUUCAUAUUGCCCUACUAGUUGGUGAUCUAGUAGCUAAAACUGAGGCAUCUAGUUUCUAUCUCUAGCUAGUUAGCUAUGUUACAUUAAUUGUAUCCAUCCAAAGUGCCACAAUUAUAUAUGAUUAAAUUAUAUGAAAAUUGUUACACUAAUUGAGGAAUUAAUUGCGCAAGGUCUUUAUAUACUUUACCAUCAUGAGGCCCACUUAAUUGAUUUCUAUUUAGGUGGUCCAAUUUUAUCACCAUCUUAGUGGUCCUCUUUGAUCAAGUUACUAUACUUUUCUCACACCAACCAAUCUAUACCAUCUAUAGCAUCUGUACCAUCUAUCUAAAGAUUCUAAACAACUAUAUUAAACCCCAAUAAGUUACCACAUGACAUUCUUUCCUUCAUUUGGGUUGUGACUUGUGAGCUCCAUCUUUAAGUAAUAAUACUCCUUUGGACCGAACCCACUGAACCGGUCCAUCUCUUCUUUCUAUUAUUUUUUCUUGAACUGAACCGGCUUGUUUUGUUAUAUACUUUGUGUUGAAUCUAGUUCUUCACUGAACCAGCCCACCUCUUCUUUCUAUUCUUUUUUUGAAUCAAACUGAUCUACUUUGUUAUAUACUCUUUUUGAACCCAAAUUUUCUCUCUUUAUUUGAACCGAACCCGCCCAGUUCUUACCUUUUUUUUUUUUUAUUUCUUUAUUUGAAGCAAAUGGGCUUACUUGAAUCCGGUUCUUCUCUUUACCCUAAGUCCUAAACCGUUCUUCGACCAAUUUCUUCAUUUUCUAUUUCCUACUCGCCGUUUCCACUGCUGUAUUAAAGAUCCUUCCACAAUUGUCCAUUCACUUUCAUCUCCAUUCUUAUUCUUAUAUAAUAACAUCUGCAUUCUCUUUUGUUCCAACACUUUUUGCGAUAAUUUUUUUUCGACGGUAAAAUAUGCUUACUUGCUACUCUGUUUUAUUAUAUUCCGUACCAUAUACAUUUUAAAAUUUUAAUUUAUUAUUAUUAUUUUUUAUCUCAGAAAAAUUUUAAAAUUUUGCUCCUAUUAUCUAUCCGCCAAAUUGCGCGGAUCUCUACACUAGUUAAUCUAAUUGUAAUUCUUGUUUAGUUAGCCUCAAUAGAUUUAGAGUAAUGGUUAGACCAAAGGAAGGAUCUAUUAAUUAGCUUAUAAGAAAUCAUUUUUAUUCUUGUUGAUUCAUCUCAAUAAUUAGCACACCAAAUCAAUCCAGUUUGUUUUCACUUGUUUUUGAUUAAUUCAUUUAUUUUUUGACUAGUAGAGACCAAUACCAAACAUAAAUGCUGUGCUAAAAGAAAGGGAUCGAAUAAAAUCUACAACAAGAGAUCACAAGUUUCAAAGGAAUAGUGUAAAUUGUAUCAGCAAUUUUUGAAUUUCUCAUGACUAAGUUUCUUUGACACUCGGGGCGCCAAGCAUAUUCUAAAGUAUUUUUCUUUUGAAUGUUUCAUAUUUACUGUAGGAGAAAAAAAUCAUUGUACGUACCUCCACUUAGGCAUAUAUCCAUCUUAUUAUCUCUCGAUCGUAUCUCGUGAAUUAAAGCGAUUUUUCAACAAUUUUUUUUAUAACUUAAUGGUUAAAGUUUAACGAGCUGAACACGCAAGUAUAACCUGGCUAAAAAGCUUAGGAACUAUUACGCUUGAGAAACUCCGUCCUUGUACCCAAAUUUUUUAUAGUUCGGAUCAGAUCCAGUUUGGCUCGUCACGAAAAGCAUCCAAACCAAAGGCACAAGAAAAUUCUGCAGAAUCCAGCGGGGCCUAACCUGUGGUCAUUGUCUAGAAGCUAUAUACUAUUGUAAUUUAUUACCCAAAGGAAUAGUUAAACUUUUGUUGAAAUUUAAUUUUUUUUAUUUCUAAUCCUAUAUAUUAUACUAAGUUGAGCUCCCACAUUAAGAUCUACAAACAUAUGACCCCUAUUAAGCUGUUACACACUAUCAGCUAUAUUGACUUGAGCAGUAGAACGUGCCGGAGACUCUCCUCCAUUAUUGUAUUCUCCUUAGCCACAACCUCCCCCACUUUAUUAUUAAAUAAAGAUAUACGAAAUACAAUACAAAACAAGGAUAUAAAUUAAUCAUAUACUCCCCUCACUCUAGAAUUUAUAGGAUCCGUUAUGAGCCCGUAGACCGGGGAUGUAAAAUUUGAAAUUUACUCUCUCUUUCUGAGUGUAUAUAUACGCCUUAAUUCAAUAUAUAUAUAUAUAUAUAUAUAUAUAUAUAUAUAUAUAUAUAAUUAGGCUACUAUACUAUCUAUAAUACCGAGCUCCGAUACUAUAACGUUUGUUUUCGAUCUUAAGACGUUCAAAUCAACGAUCCACACCGUUAAAUAUGAUCUAGAGUAUAUAUGAAGUUCUUAGGAAUAAAAUUUUAGUUUUUUUCGAUAUCGUUUACUUAGUAAAUAAAUUAUAUCAAAAUGGACGGUGGAAAUUGAAUAAUCUUUAAAAUUUGAGCAUAGGACUUUUAAAUUCAAGAUCAAGAAUGUUAACCUUAAUCUAUAUAGUUUAAAGUAUUUUCUAUCAAGAUUUGAAGGAAUUUAGAUUCUUCUACACCGUUAAACUCCAAACUCGUCAUAAUAGCCAUUGAAAAUUGACAAUUUUGAAAUAGUUUGAUCAUAAAAUAAACUAUGUCGAAAAAAUAUAAAGUUUUAUUUCUAUAAACUUUAAAUACCCUAGAUCAGUUUUAACGGUGUGGAUCGUUGAUUUGAACGCUCUAAGAUCGAAAACCAACACUAUAAUACCGGAGCUCGAUACUAUAGAUAGUAUAGUAGCCUAGCUCUCUCUCUCUCUCUCUCUCUAUAUAUAUAUAUAAAAUAAAAAAAUCGAUCCUCCCUAGCGCAAGUAGCAAAGAGCUUUAUGGUUAGUACCCGAGGUUCUUUCAGCUAAAUUUUUUUCUAAAUGAAAUAAAUAAGACGGGUAGCAUGCAAUCUAUUUAUCAAAAAAAAAAAGUAUAUAAUAAAAAAAUUAACUUCUUAAUUUUGUACCGGUACCACAAGUAAAACCUCCGGAACUAACUAUUAUUAUAUAUAUAUAUAUAUAUAUAUAUAUAUAUAUAUAUUCUAAAUGAAAUAAAUGAUGCAGGUAACGGAGUUGAGCUAGAAUACUCUCAAAAACACCAAGAGGUUGGUGCUUUUGAGUUUUUAACUCUUGGAUGGAGAGAUGUGAGGUUAAGAUGAUGGUGGUAGGUGGAAUAGUGUUUGAUUCAAGAGUUAUUAGUAUUCUAGGAAUAGAUCCAAUGACUAAAAACUUAAUAGCACUAAGGGGAUGAUACUUCUAAAAGUAUUCUAACUCAAUUCCAGGUAACGUAAUGCCUAUCUCUCUCAAUAUAUAUAUAUAUAUAUAUAUAUAUAUAUAUAUAUAUUUCCUUUUUCUUUUUCUUAUUCUUUCAGAUUCCGAGCUCACAAAAGUUUCUUCAAGGACUAGUAUAUUUUGACUACUGCAAAAUUUGCUGGGCCAAACAAUGAAGUGUCCUAAUAACUCCCCUAGGAUUAUGAGCAGAGAUAGUGGUAGAUGGAUAGGCCGAGUUGGGUCGAAUUUAUUUCGGGCCAUUUUAGGUCUCAAAUUAGUUAAACUUUUAUUUUCUUUUGCUUGCUCUUGCGAACUCAAUUUGCUAAAAUAUUAAAGAUGUCGAUUGAAUCUGCAAUUUCACAUAAUAACGAGGCUUACAAAAACUAUGAUACUGUAUUGUCCAAAUAAUCGAUCUGUUAGGAUCAUAUUCUUAAAUGCGUAUUUAACACACAAUGAAUUCUAUUUUGGUUUUGUUAGGUUUGAGUUAUUUUUGGUUUUAGUUAGUUUGAAUUUGGAUUGUUUCAUGUUUCAAAACACUUUGUUUAACACUGCCACAAUCUUGGGUUAUUUCGAAUUGGUUUUUGCUUAGGAUCGUCCAAGUUUCGAAUUGUUUUGCUGUCGAGUUAUUCAAUUCUCGAAUUAUUUAGAUACGGAUUAUUGUGUUUGAAAAAUACUAUCUCUGUAUUAUAGCUAGACGUAAAUCUCACGUUUUUACAAAAUUAUAGUUGGAUCUCAGUAAAAUAAAAGAAAAAUUAUAUGACAAGUAGAGAAUUGAAAGUUGUACAUAUGUAAAAUUUAUAUCUAUUCUAAAGGUGUACCGCUAGUUUUGCUCUCGGUGUUUUUGAGCGUGAGAAAUUUGGCUCACAAUUUUUUUUUGUUUUGGGCACGUACAAAGAUUUGGUUGUUGACUUUUUUUUUUUGUAUUUUAUUAUUUUACGUUCGGUAAAAGCAAUUUACCUAUUUAAGUGACCCACUGGGGCUUUCAAACAUCGUACGGCACUUGGGUAGUGUUCGGGGUAGUUGUAGUGCGGGCCAUAGCGGUGGGCUUAAACGCCAUUGUUACAUUAAUACAGGCGUUUUAAAAGGCAGUCGAAGCACGCCAUUGGAGAUCAAGGGAGAGAGAGAGAGAGAGAGAGAGAGAGACCCCUCGAGUCCUCGACCCUUCAACGAACUCAACUCACGGAUAGGGCUCCGAUCCCACUCGCUCUCGUCUCCUCCCUACUUGGGAUCCGCAUGCGCCUUGCACCAUGAGGAGCUCUGCGGCGGAGCUCGCGAUGGCCGCGGCGUCGGCGGCGGCGGUGGCGGCGGAGGAGGAGGAGGAGUUCUACGAGUCGCUGGAUCGGAUCCUCUCCUCCUCUUGCUCCUCCACCUCCGCCUCCGACGACGAGGCCGAGCACCACCACCACCGCCGCCGCCGCCGCUCCUCCCACCACAUCCCUCUGCCGCCGCCCGCCGCCGCCGCCGCCGCGGCGCCCUUCGACGUAUGGAUCUCCGAGCCCUCCUCCGUCGAGGAGCGCCGCCGCCGCCUCCUCCAGCAGAUGGGCCUCGCCGGCGACCCCGCUCUCUCCCGCGAUAGGGCCGCCGCCGCCCUGUCGAGCCCCUACGCGGAGGAGCCCUGCGGCCGAGAUCGCGAGCCCUCGCCGUCCCCUCCGACGCUUCCCGUGGCGAGGGAGCCGGAGAUGUGGAGGUCCGUUUCGUGGGUCGAAUCGCCGCCCAAUCCCCCGAGCCCCUUCCCCGUCGCCAACGCCGUGGCGCGAUCCAGAUCCGACGGCUCAGUGGUUCCCGAUCUCGUGAGUACGCCUCUUCCCUCCGCCCCAAGUAAGCCGCCUCUCUGCUUUAGAUCUCACAACAAUGUCGAAAACGACGCCGAGGACGGCGAUCGCCACCAGUACCGGAUCAAGAACCUUGACGACGGAACUGAGUUCGAGGUAAAGGAGUUCCGCGAGGACGGGAUGUGGAACAAGGUCCGGGAGGUCGGCACGGGCCGGCAGCUCACAAUGGAGGAGUUCGAGAUGUGCGUCGGCCGCUCUCCGAUCGUCCAAGAGCUUAUGCGGCGGCAGAAUGUCGAAGACUCCAGCAGCGGCAGUGGCGGUGGCACCGACCCUGCCGGCGAUUCGAAGCCCCGCUCGGUGCCCUCCGGCGGGGGGAGACCUAAGAAGAAGGGUAACAAUUGGCUGCGUAGCAUCAAGCACAUGGCGGGCAAUGUGGUGGCCGGCCGGCACCACCACAGUCGCCGCCACAGCCGCAGCGGCGAUGAGAAGGACACAUCGUCCGAGAAGGGAGGGAGGAGGCUGAGCUCGGCCACCGAUGACAGCCUGGACGGCUCGCGCCCUCCACAAAGCGGGCCGGAGAGGAUAAGGAUCCGGCAGUACGGGAAGUCCUAUAAGGAUCUCACCGGUGUAUUCAUGAGCCAGGAGAUACAAGCGCAUGGCGGGUCAAUUUGGAGCAUCAAGUUUAGUUUGGACGGGCGAUAUCUGGCGAGUGCUGGGGAUGAUUGUGUUAUUCAUGUGUGGGAGGUUUCCGAGUCGGAGCAGAAAGGGGAGGUGUUGGGGGAAUGGGCAGUCGGGGAGAAUGGGAGUUGUUAUCCUUUCUUGGCUGCAAUUGGUAAUGGAUCGCCGGAAAUGGCAUUGCCUCCGAGUUGUAUUGAGGGUGCCUAUGGAGACAAGAAGAGAAGAGCAAAGGUUCCAAGCAGCCGAAAAUCUGUUAAUUCAGACCAUUUGAUAGUGCCGGAACACAUAUUUAUGUUUGCGGAAAAGCCUUUUUGCUCUUUCCGGGGCCAUGGCGAUGAUGUUCUCGAUCUCUCAUGGUCCAAAUCUCAGGUUCUUCUUCUUUGACUGUUCAAAAACAAUUUAGUAGUCACAUUGGCUAAGGCAAUUUUGACUCAAAUUAUCCAAAGCAAUAUUUGUGUGGAAUUAAUAGGCUGAUUGGCUUCUCAAUUAGUGUUAGAUAGUUUCUUAUGAUGUGAGUAGAAUCAGAAUAUUCGCUAGGCUGUUCGGUGUCACAGAUGGCUCAUAUUGUGAGUAUGUCCAAUAUCAUGAGUCCAUAGUCUUAGAUAGCUCAUAGCGCCUUGGCCUUUGGGUAUGUUAAUUUCUAUAGUUUUGGUAGGUCAUUGGUUCUAUGCUUUUUAAAGAAGUUUUUCUUAUGAAUUGAGGGGAAUGGCAGUAGAGAUUGCUUAUAGGGAGAGAUUUGCUUGAACAGAGUGAGUUUUUGACAGCUUGAGGCAGCUUGAUAUUGAAAGCUCUCCUUCUGAUUCUAAAUUUCUUACUACUCUUUUCUCAUUGUUUCAGUUUCAUUCGCUUAGCUAGGUGCUUCCACCAAAAGAUUGUGUUUGGUUUCAAAAAAUAUUUCCAGCCAGCCAACGAUAAUUCCUUUUCUUUGCAAAUACAUUGAGCUGGAAUUUCUUCCGUCACAGAUAGAUUAGAAAGCACCAGUUGACUUGUUUGAACAGCCAGGAAGUGUGUCUUGAAAAAUUCGGUAUAAUGGGGGUAUGAUGCUGAUAAAAGAAACCAUUGAUGAGAGUUCUUUCUAUCAUGAUCACCUUAAACUAUAUUAAGAUUAUCUUGAUAACCAGAACUAGUGAACCAUCUUAGACAAUAACUUUGGCAAGCCGUGGCAGUCUGAACCUCCUAAAUACACAAUAACUAGACCGUUCUAUCGUCUACUUUCCAAACAGCUGCAGCUUAUGGCUGCAAUAACUAGAAUGGCAGCCAUAUAACAUGGGAAACAUUAUCAGAAACUUUUCGCAAAUAAGUACAAUGUAUUAUGCAAUAUCUAGAUUUGAACAAGGUUGUACUAGUUCAUUUGGAACUGUGAAAUAAUGGUUUGAUACAGCCCUGUUCAAAGAAAGCGAGCUGCUUAUGGCAUGAUCAACAAACAACUUGCAACGUGUUUGAUAUAGGAUAUCCCUGUUGAGUUCUCUUCUAUAUCAUUGUUGUAAGACUUAGCUCUGUAUUGACUAUUCUACUCAGAAUAGUUGUUGUAAGAUUCUGACACCAUAGUGUGGGCGUGAAGCUUAGAAGCUACAUUUUCUGAUCAUGCCUAAAAGGCAAGCCAAUACCUCAGAUUGAAUGUAUGAGGUCUGUGCUUGCUUGUUUGGAAUACUUUGCACCAUCAUCAAGGUGCUUGUUGAGUGGAGACUAGAAAGGCACCUUUAUUUUCUCAAGAUGUCAAUAUUUACCCUUUCAUGAUGGUUUUGGUAUACCAUAAGGAAUCUAAUCUUAAAUUGUUUCAUACCAAGAGAGAACUUGAAUGUGGAAUCAUAGAGAUGGUAUUGCAGUGGACUGUAUCACUGCAGGAUGGCCACAAUCAAAUCUCUUGAAAACAGAUUGAUAUUUUGCAGUUCAAUACAGCCACCUUUAAAGUAAUUUGUCACCAGUUGCAGUAGGUGGCUAUAUCUAGCUUUCAUUCUCACUUUGAUAACAACAGAAGUCGCAAGUUUAAAAGGCAAAUAUUCUCUUUUUUUUUAAAUCAGUUCUUUGUGCAAUUGAGAUGGCCAGAUUAUUCUUUAUCAGCUUUAUUGUGUAGAGAAGAUGGACUAGAAGACUCAAAAGAAGCCUAUAGAAGUUGGUUGCGCCGAAUUAUUUCUUAGGAAAAACUUCGAAAAGCCUUUCUUUUGUAUAGUGCAUUUGCAGUUUCCUACCUUGUGAUUUAGAUUGUGGAAUGUGUAAUUCUACUUGAUUAAAUCUUUUUAGUGCUGCAGAAUGCUUUGAUGCUAUUAGUUUGAAUCAAAGUAGCAAAUUUGAAGCAAUGAUUUUGCUGAGUUUUUUUUUCGUUUCUUUUUGCGUGUACAGUGUUUGCUUUCAUCUUCAAUGGACAAAACUGUUAGGCUGUGGCAUAUAUCAAGCAGUACUUGUUUAAAAACAUUCACACACAGUGACUACGGUGAGUUUUGUGCUGUAAUUGUUUGCCCAUGGCUAUUCUUCAUUUUAUCAUCAUUUAAUUGUUACGGUAUUUAUUAGCUAAUUGCAAUUCUAUUCUUGCCUUGAUACAGUGACCUGUAUCCAGUUCAACCCUGUAGAUGAUAGAUUUUUUAUUAGUGGAUCGCUAGAUGAAAAGGUCCGUAUUUGGAGUAUUCCAGAUCGUAAAGUUGUUGACUGGAAUGAUCUUCAUGAAAUGGUCACUGCUGCUUGUUAUACCCCCGAUGGAAAGGUUGACUUUUGAUUCUCUGGUUGCAUUCAAGUGUUCUGGCAACUUUUGAAUUUUGCAAACUUUUACAACAUUUUUUUUCCCUUGACCUUGAUCAAGAAUGCAUCUUUUUGGUUCUGAAGGGUGCAUUGGUGGGUUCACACAAGGGGAGUUGCCACUUGUUUGAUACUUCUGGUAUGAGUCUCUCUCUCUCUCUCAUGACCGGACUUUGUAUGUUUAUUUGUGUGUCUCUCUCUCUCUCUCUCUCUCAUGACCGGACUUUGUAUGUUUAUUUGCAAUUUUCAGAUGUAGGUACUAUUAAAUAUUUUUGCCCUUCAGCUAUUGGCUAUUCCUUUUCUGUUUUAUUGGUGUCUUUAUCUCACGUGCUUCUUAACUUUAUCUGAUGUAACUAGAGAACAAGCUACAUUACAAGAGUCAAUUGAAUUUGCGAAUCAAGAAAAAGAAGUCCAGCCACAAAAAGAUCACAGGCUUCCAGGUAGAGAGUUCACAAGCCACAUCUCAUUUAAAUUAAUGUUGUGUUUCUAAUCUUUUAGUUCAUCUUGGUUCUUUGUAUGAAUGUUUAUUGAUUACUUCUAUAAUACAGUUUGCUCCAGGAAGCUCCUCGGAAGUUCUUAUUACUUCUGCAGAUUCAAGAAUUCGUGUUGUCAAUGGUGCUGAACUAGUUCACAAAUUCAAAGGUAAAAUUUUUACACUUGACAGUUGUAUUUCUUCCUUCCUCGGUGACGCAUGAAUCUUCUUUCUGUAAAUAUUGACUAUUCAAAUAUUAUGAAUCUUGUUUUUACUGUUUCUUUUGUCAACAUAACGAUUUAAAAUCUAAUACAAUUUAUUUUUAUUUGUUUUCUUAACUCUUCUUUAAAAUUGAAUUGAUGGGUAUUUCUUCACUGGGUUUUGUUGUGAAUGACCUGGUGCUAGUUCACACAGUGUUUCUGCAAAGGCUCGCCCCAUCUUUAUUAUUGAAAGAAAAUGGCGGUGCUGCUUCUUCUAUUAAAAAAAAACCUUCAUGCCAUAUCUUAUUCAGCAAGAUAAAGAAGUAGAGUUACUUGUGGGUCUAUCAGAGGGCAAGGCAUUAAAGCACAACCCCUGUUUUUUAAACCCUUGUCCCAGGUGGCCUGAAUGAAGCAUUAAAGCUCAGUUGGCCCAUUCACUCUUUAAAUGAAAUGCUUCACUGUAAUUAGUCCCUCUGGGGACGUAAAUUGCCAUUUCAAUGUCAAUAUUUCACUGGGCCAUUACCUAUAAAUUGCUUGGCGGGGGGCUUGCCUUUUUUAUUGAGUUUGGCUACUGGCUAAAAGAGAACUCUGUUAUGCGUGACAAGUGGAGUACACUGGAUAUCUUGAUGAAACUUGUGGACUCGACUGUUAUUAUUACCUUUUUCUUUCUCAGGUUUCCGCAACACGAGUAGCCAAAUCUCGGCCUCCCUAGCACCAAAUGGAAAGUACGUGAUCUGCGCGAGCGAGGACUCCCAUGUCUAUAUCUGGAGAUACGACGAUAACUCUCAGCCGAGUAAAACCAAAGGUGUUGUUAAUGUCACCCACUCUUACGAGCACUUCCACUGCCAGGGCGUGACCGUGGCGGUGACGUGGCCUGGCAUCGGCAAUGGAGGAUUACUUAGAGCUCAGAGCAGCAGCCGGAAUGAUCCAGGUGGAGCAGCAAAAGCCAACCAAGAGGCGCUUUUGGAAAAUAGUGAAAGCCCUUCUGCGACCUGGCCCGAGGAGAAGCUGCUGGCCAACAAAUGCGGCGGUCAAAGCUCUCCCGAGCUUUCAGGUGAGGCGGCGGAGAUGCAACGGAUGUCGGCUUGGGGAAUGGUGAUUGUGACUGCAGGCCAUGGAGGCGGGAUCAGAGUGUUCCAGAAUUUCGGCUUUCCGGUUCAUGUAUAAAAAGGGGCAAAUACACGGAUUCUCUCUGGUUUUUAUUAACCUUUUUUUUCCCCCCUUUUUCUGUAUAGAUGGAUUGUUUGGUGAGGAUUGUACUAUUCUUUGAGUUUUGUUUCAUUUCGAGAUUUCUUCGAGCAGGGUCGGACUAAAGAUCCACACAUUGUUUCGGAUACGGGAGGUCUCUGUGUAAGUAUGAUAUCGCCGCGGUUAAACCCUUUUUAAUCUUUUCUAUACUUGGCUUCAUUUGCGUAGAUGUGGAAGAAAAAUUCAUUUGUAAUGUGGGAGUAAAUUUCUACUCGGAGGGCUUUGUGAGUUGCUGAUGCUGUCAAAAUUCAUUUUCCUUCUUUUCACUUGGUGUGAUAAUUGAAGAUUGCGAUUUGCCGUCGCAGAACCGCGUUUUGAGUUCCAGAAAAUAGAUUCUCUGUAUAAUGAGAGCCGAUAAGCAUUUUAGCCUGACUUUGAAAAUAGCUUUUCAAUUUCAAUUCAACGGGAAUGUGUUUUUCCUUAUGAGCCAAUAUACCAUCCAAAAUAAAUAGGAAUGAUAUGGGUUAGUAGUUGGUAGAUAAUAAUGCACGAUAAACAAAACAAUAUGAGAAAAGACUCUUGUCCAGGAUUAAUGUGUGUUUGAUUCCUCGAUAAAUCUGAAAAACUAUUUUCUAAAAAAGAGAGUAAAAUAUAUAUUUUUUAUAGUCUUUAUUUUUUGGGUAAAAAAUUCAGACAAUGAAAAUGAGGAUUUUAUGUGAAAUCUGGAAAGCACUUUUCCAAAAAAAAAAAAAAAAAAACUACGUUUCCUAAAAUCCAAAGUAAAAUACUUUUCUUUCCAAACAAUUAUUUUUAGAAAAACUAAACACUCUUUGCAGCCGGAUCACACACUUUCAUCUCAAAUCUCAAAUACAUAUAUUUACCAUCAAGUAACAUUGAGACUGAAAAUCCAACAUAGAGUUAAAAAAAAAAAAAAAGAAGUAAAAUAAUUUUUAGAGUAAUGAGCCUUAAAACCCUAUCAAGAGGCCAUAAGAAAAAUGGUGGCCUCCGCAAGAAACUACGCUUACAUAUCUUUAACUUCAACAAAAAAAAAAACACACGCACACACACUUAUGGAUAAUUUUUAUAUCAUUCUAGUAAUUAAGAGGGAAGGACUUAGAAAAUUAACGACUAAACUACAUAAUAAUGUAGAAACUAAUAUAGAAGUUGUUGGUAAGCAGAUGCAACAUUACUCAAUCCAUGAACCCUCCACGAUCCGGCCGGGAAUUGGGCUCGAAUUGUGCUCAAGAGUGACUAGAUCGGUCAUCUCGUCCCAGUAGUCGAAUUCGGCGAGGCUCUCCUCAUCGAGGCCGCCGAUCAAAUUGCACGGCGACAAGCCGGAGGUCGACGAAGACGACACGGAGGAGAAAGGAUUCGUCAUGUCGUCGUAGGCCGAACUCUCGACGACGUUCACCGUCGCCGAAGGCGGAGGGCACGAAAACCAUGCAACGUCGCAGUCCAAGGGCGGGAAUUGUGUAGGGUGGUGGAGAGGUGCAUGGACGGUCGUGUCGAGAUCUGCACUUGCAGCACUUGUGUCUUCAGUGGUGUCGGCAGUUGGCGACGAUUUUGACGUCCUGCGGCGCUUGCUCUUGCGAAGGCCGCCGACGGGCACGUCACGGAGGACGCCGCCGGCCGUCCAGUGGCGGCGGCAGGCGCGGCAGUAGUGCCGCGGCUGCGACUUGCUGUAGUUGUUGUAGUAGCAGAACUUGGUGUUCGCCGACUCGCACCGCGGGCACCUCAGCGGCACUUCCGAUUCACACUUCUUCAUAAACACCCAGUUUUUAAAAAGAGCAAAUAGUAUAUUUGAAUUAAAAUUUUGUUAAAUUUGAUAAUAAAGAAUAAGUUUAAAUUUUUUGAAUUAUACGUACUUGUUGUUGUUGUUGUUGGGAGGCCAUGACAGUAUUGCCGGAAACAUGGUUGGAGGAGAGGCCCAUCUGAAUGGAGGGGAGGGAGACUGCGGAAGAGACCGGCGGCGGCGGCGGCAGCAGCGCGUCGAAGGCGAUCGGAAAGAGUCGGCGAUGCGCGAGGCGUGAUCAGAAUAAGAGAGCAUGUCGAAUUUGGCCGCUGCGAGGGAAAAGAAAACAACACUGGCUUGUGGACACCUUCUAUGAGUGUUGAUGAUGAGCAGAGCUGGUAAUUAAAACCUAUGUACAAAGAGAAGAGGGGUUGAGAGGGGUGUGUUUAAUGUGUAUAUAUAGAGAGCGGGCGCACACCGUAUCUAACAUAAUUAGCUAAUUACAAAAAUGAUUGGUACAUGAGAUUUUAAAUUCGAAAUUUUAUUACUUCACAUUUAGGGUGCGUUUGGUUCGCAUUAUAAAAAAUUAUUAGGAAUAAAAAAUAUUCGAGAAUCUUUAUUCCUAUUCAUUCUAUUACUAAGAAUGUGGAAUUCCUGUGUUUGGUUCGCACGGUAAUAUUAAUUAGCCAUGUUAUUUAAUAUUACAAAAAAUAUACAAUUAAUUAAUUAAUUUAUUUAUUUAAUUUUAAAUAAUGUUACCAAAAAUUUCAACAUCUUUUUAGAAAAAAGGGAGAGAGAGUAUAAGUUAGAGAGAGAGCAUAAUUAAAAAAAAUAGAAAGAAAAAUAUAGUCGAAAUUAUAGAGAGUGAGAGAGUUGAAAUUUUAGAAAAAAAGAAAGAGAAAGCUUAGUUUAGAGAGAGAAAAAAAGUUGAAUUUUAGAGAGAAAAAUAAAUUUAGAGAGAUGUAAGGUUAAAGUGUAAAGAAAAAUAAUAUUAAUUAGCCGGCGGGUAGGAAGAAAAAAAUAAAUUAGACAUAUUAUAAUUAUCCCAAUCUAUUAAUAUGAGAAUACCCACUCUCUCUUAAGGGAAUAAGAUUAGUACUUUGGGGUGAAUCUUAUUCUCAAGUGAAUCUAAUAUUACCAACUAGAUUACUUAAUGCGUUUAGUCAAAUAUCAUUAUACUUUUUUAUUUUUAUUAAAUUAUUAGAAAUUUAAAAAAAAUAGCGUGAACCAAAUGUACCCUUAAAAGAAAGAAAGUGAACGGGGGUAAGAGACGUGUGGAACCAGGCAUAAACUAAACGAGAAAAAGAGAAGUAAAGAAAUAAAGAAAAGUAAGAUGCGUUUCUUAAGUGUUAAGGCGAUCCGCGGCUAAGAAAGCGAUGAGAAAGAGAGACUGUGGAAACACGUGCAAUUUAUUUUAUUUUAUUUUAUUUGUGGUUGUGGUGGAACUGCUGUAAAAAUGCAUGGUUGAAUUUUCGUAAGUUUUUAUUAUACUAGUACAGUAAUGCUAAGUUUAUAGUUCAAAAUAGUUGAAAUUUUUUAACCCUUCAUGGAUUCUAGGAUUGAGCCUACUCUUUUAUUAAUAAUCGGAAUGUUAUUAACAAGUAAUAUAAAAAAAAAAGCGCUAAAUUGGAAGGCUAUUGAUUACACCGUUUUUGAUAUUCAAACAUUUCUUUCAAUGAUCAAUGCCGUCAAGUAUAAUUAAAAAAUAUUUGAACAUUCUUGGCACUUAAUUUUAUAAUUUUAUGUUCCUUAUUUAUUGAUCAAGCAGGCUAAAAAAUAAUAAUUUUAAUGGUUUAUUAUUUUUUUUUUUUUACUUUGUAGAAUUUUGAUAGAAUUUUUGUCAAUAUAAGGAUUUAAACAUAAAAAUUCUAUUCCCUACUUUCAUCGAGUUAUUUAGUUUUGAACAUCCAUUUUUUUUUUCACAAUUUGAUAGCCUAUCAAAAUAAUUUUUAAAAUUUAUAAAACUUAAUUUUUAUGAUAUUUAAUAACUUAGAUUCUAUUUAAAUUAUUUAAUGAUAUUAAUCAUCAAAUCAAAUAUUUCAUCAUCAAAAAUAAUUAUACAGUAAAAAAAUUUCUAUUAUUAAUAGUUCAUUAAUAAUAUGUAGCUUAUAAUUAAAAAAAAAAAAAAAGAAGAAGGAAUAAGGCAAUGAACGGAUGGGAAGGGAUCUGAGUCAGGAAAGGGACGUGAUUGGAGUGAUCGUACGAUGGGCGGUGGAGAUUCCGUGCUUUUUUGUCAGAUUCUCGGCGACUGUGGGGCCCGCUCGACGUGGCCUUUGACAUAUAGUCCCAAGAACAGCUGGAGCCUUUCGGUUAAAAUUUUUUUUUUUUAUUACAGUUAUUUUAUAUAAUAUAUAUAUAUAUAUUUUUAUUAAAAUAUUUUAUAUAAUAUAAAUAUAAAUUAAUAUUUAAUUAUUUUAUUAUAAUAUUAUUUUAAUUUUAAAUAAUUUAUAAUAAAUCUUAUAUGUUAUAAUUAUUAUAAAGUGUAUAAUUUUUGGGCGGUGAUUUUUGUCGCUUGCUUAGGUUAGGUCUAAACUAACACAUUGACCUCGGCCGAGUUUUGUCGUUUUCUCCUCUUAUUAUUAGAGCUAUACUUUAACUAAAACUUUUAGUACGGAAUCAAAAUCAUAAUCGAUAUAAGUUGGAUUCGAAAUUGGAAUGACUCAUUAACUAAUUCUGUUUAGUUAAUCACAAAUUAGAAUAAAUUAUUUUUAUUAUUGGUGUUUUGUUCAGAUAAAUAUAAAAAAUAUAAUUAGAUCAAUAUACUAUUUUAUCUUUAUAAUAUAUUAAUUUAAAUUCAAAUUAAAAUAUUUACAUCAAAAUUUUGAAAUAAUGUCAAAAUUUUAAAUCUAUUUUUUUAAAAAAAUUAAACUUUAAAGUUGAGUGGAUAAUUCAAAAAUAAAAUAAAAUUUCGAUUUAUUCAAAUUCAAACUUAAAAUUAUAAUUUAAAUUUUAAUUUGAAUCCAUGAUUUAAUUUAAGUUUUAAAUAAAAUUUGAAUAAAACUUUAUAUAAAUUAAAAUUUAAUUUAAAUUCAAAUUCGUAAGUUUGAUUUGAAAUACUUGAUUAAAUUUUAAUUUUUAAUUCAAGUUGAAAUUAAAAUUAAAAAUUAAAAAUUUAAUUUCUAAAUUUAAAUUCAUAUUUUAAUUAAAAAAGUUGAAAUAAUAAGUUUAAUCCGAAUAAAUAUCCAUUCCGUCCAGAUUCAGGGCAUGUUUGAUUCAUCUAUUUUAGACUACGAAAUCGAAAUGGAAUUUAUUGAUUCCGAUAGUUGCCGUUUGUUUUAUAGGAAUCGAAUUCCGAUUCCUAUUCCACUCCAGAAUAGGAAUGGCCAAAUCCAUUUAUGAUCCAAUCCGGCUUUGAAUCCCGGAUUGGGUAAUUCCAAAGUAAACUAUUUUAAAUCCUCUUUCAUCAACAUCUACUUCCUCUCCCUUCAUCACUUUCCUCUCUCUUAAUCAAAACUCUCUCUCAAAAAUUUUAAAUUUUAAUUCCAAUUUCCUUUCCAAUAAUGAACCAAAUAUUUUUGGAUGAUUCGUCAUUCCAUUUUUCAUUCCAAAGCAAUCCAAUUUCAUUUCUCAUUCCUAUUCCAAUCAUGAACCAAACAUGCCUUCAACUUCUAAUCCCGCCUCCUAUAAAUGUAUGGGGAUCAAUUUUCUUAGUAUUUUAUGUGCACAGUCACUCGAAAAUUUAAAUAAAAAAAGUAUGCCAUUACCUUAAAAAUAUAAAUUUCUUUAAUUUGAUAUGUAUCAGACUAAUAAUUCGAUUUAAUUCAAAUAUAUGUUUAUAUUGUUAAGAAUUUAUAUAUAAAUAAUUUCACACUGGAUAAUUAAUAAGAGAGUAAAAAAAUUUAUACAUAUAAAUGGAUCUAGAUCUCAUAAGCUUAAAGUUUUAAAUUUGAGUAAUUUCUUUAGGUAUACCCCAUCUUUUAUAUGAGUUUAAAGUGGAUCAAAACUCCCCUAUAUGUGUUAUCACACAUGUCAAUUGUAAUAAUAAAAAGCAAUAUUAUCUGUACAUCUAUAAUAUCGGUGUAAAAUUUACACUCUAAUUUUCUUGUCCAUAUUUAUUCACUCAUCUUAUCAAUUUUUUUCUUUAAAAUUUUAACUAAAUCUCAAAAAAAAAAAAAUUGUGAAUUCUUGGAUUCAAAGAUAUAAGAUGCGCAUGUUACUAAUUGCAUUUUUCAAUAAUAAAACUCUCCUCAACGCAUUGAGUUUUGUAGAACAGUGUUUGGAGAGAGAGAGAUGCUUUGCAAACAAGAAAUUUUUUAAUUUUUUUUUAAUUAAAAACCGAACCGUUUGAUGCGUGAAAGAAUGCAAAACAGUUACUAGUGGGCUCGGCCCUAAUCCGGGCUCAAGAAAUUACUAAAAAAAAAAAGUAAAAAAAAAACUCGGCCUAAAUUAGGCCCAGCCUAUUAACGCUUAUCACAGCCCAUAACCCUUUUGGCCCUGUCCAUGCACUCCUCUUAACUAGGGAUGCUAAUUGGUUCGGACACCCGAGUUUUAACGGAAUCCGAAUCCGAACAGGGUAAAUUUAAGAUCUAUUUCAAAAUGAACUAAUUUUUAUUAAUUUAAAUUAAAAGUUAUCAAAUUUAUGAGUGAUUUCCAUCAGAUUUAAAACUUU